CACACACACACACACACACACACACACACACACACACACACAAAAACUAAGUUAAUUAAGAGCUAGAACACAAAAAGGAUGAGUUAGAGUGAGCGAUGAGACUCUUUUAUAUAUGUAUAAGAUCGCAAAGAAAGAGAGGAAGAAACCGCGAGAACGGUGUCGCAAAAGUUGCAGUGGACGUAGCAAAGCUGCUCGGAAGGGGGAGGCGAGAGGUGGUCCAGAGAAAAGGCGGCGGAGGAGGAUGACAUGAUUUGAUUUAUUGGAUCUCCUGCAGCAGCUGCUUCUUUGAUUUGAUUUGAUUGCCCAACCAACCAACCAACAAACCAACCGACCGACCGACCGACCCAAGCCAAGGGGGGAUCUUUCUCUCCUUUCUGGGCUCCCUUUUCUUCUUUUUUUUUGUGGGGGUGUUUUUUUGGUUUGGUUGUUGUUGCUGUUGUUGUUGUUGUUGUUGUUGUUGUUGAUGUGAUGAGUUUGAUUUGAUGCCUUUGAUUUGAUGCUUUGAUUGACUCGAUCUGAUUCAGUGGAGCCUCGGAUCUGUUGUUCUUUGGUUUGAGAAACGAAAAUAAAAAGGAAAUAAUAGGUAGAGAGAGAGAGAGAGAGAGAGAGAGACAGAGAGAGAAUGGAAAGAGGAGAGGAGAGGNAGAGAGAGAGAGAGAGAGAGAGAGAGAGAGAGAGAGAGAGAGAAUGGAAAGAGGAGAGGAGAGGAGAGAGAGGGAGAAAGGAAAGGGGGGAAAGAGAGAAGAGCAAAUUAAGAGAAGAUACCUGCUGAGAAAAUGGUGAGAUUGAGAAAGAUAUAGGGCAGGUCCAAAGCCUCUCUUUCUCUCUCUUUCUCUCUCUCUCUCUCUCUACAAAGCACGGGCAGCUACCACCGCUAGCUAUCGCAGAAAUGUAUUAAUUAAAGAAUAUUUUCAAUAUUUUUUAAAUGGAAAAGUAUGUGGGAGAAUGAGUGAUCUGAUCAAACAGUCUUUUUAAUAUUAAAAAGUUUGGUCAGAAUUUUCUAAUGUUUCUAGUAUUAACUCAUGGCUUUCCUGUAUUUAAAGCGAAAUACACUAUUUUUUUAGGCUUUCUACAGUGAAUGUAUAAGAUUGCGCUUUAUGUAAUUAAUAUCUUUUAAAUUGUGAUAACGAUUGAUAGUCCUCUACGCUUAGAGUUAAUAUUUGAUUCGUGGAUCAUUUCAAAGUUUACAUUGUGCAAAUGAAAUUCUUUUAUUUAGUUGCAUUCUAGUAUUCCUUGAAAUGGAUUUUUGUAUACAUGUUCCAACAUGAAAAUAUUUUAGUCAGCCAGUAAGAUUAAUCUUAGCGUCACAGGAUUAUAGUGGUUGCAGUGGCUACAAAUUACUUCAAUAAUUGUGGCGAUCAAGCAUAUUAUAAAUGGUGGCUGAAAAUGAUAGUGAUAAUAGCGAUGGUAAUGAAAGUAGCACGAAGAGAGCGUGGGAGAGCUAGGGGAUGCAGCAUCAAUAGCAUAAUAUCAGUUCAGUGGCAAAAUUUACAGCGAUGACAACUGGUAGCACAACAGUGACAAUCAGGGACAAAACUAGCACUCGAUUAUAAGGGGAGCUAAAAUACAAACAAAUCAAAAUUUUAGCAAAUAAACAAGAUUUACCUAGUCAAAUUUUUGAUAAAAAAAUAUAUCUACUAAAUAAUUAGUGUAAAAAAGCAUUACCCUUUUUUUAUUUAUACUUACUUAACUUCUAAUUAUUUUAUUUAGAUUAUUUCACUCAAAUAGCUUUAAAAUUUAUUAAAUCUAAUAGUAAUUCAGUAAAUGACUUAAUUUUUUAAUUUUUACUAAAUGUAAUUGUGACAAUAAAUGACUAUUAGUUAACAGAGCUAUUAACUUUAAUAUAACCUUUAAUUUAAUUACUAAAUGAAAAAAAAAAAAACUCAGAGUUUAGAGAGCACUAUAUUAGCCCUAAAAACUUUUCAAAAAAACAGAUUACUCAUCAUACUUUUAAAAAAUAUAUAUUUUUUUAAAAUUUUUAUAUAUAAAGGACUUUUAUGCAAAUUAUGAAAAUUUGGGGUGGAGGGGGGCCAUGGCCCCCUCAGCCCAACAUAGCUCCGCUCCGCCCCUGAUCACAAAGACAUUAAUUGAUAAUGGUGAUACUGAUAGCAACAUCAGUGGUCUCAAAUUGAGUUCCAAAUUAGGAUGAUAGUUAUUGUAGCAAUGACAAUGGAGGCAACGCCGAAGGAGGUGUUGGCGUCGAAAAUGUUUGGAAGCAAUUAAUGGUGGUGGCGAUGGCAAAAUUAGUCGUAUAUAGUAGUGACAACAAUGGUCAACGACAAUGUUUAGCCAUCGGUAAUACCGAUAGAAAAGCUGAUAGUCACAACGACGGUGGCGGGGGCAAUUGUGGUUGCGGCAACGGUGCUACAAGUGGUGAUCUGCCUGUGUAGCAAUAGUAGCAGAUGAGCUCCUGAUAGUUAUAAGCGUAUAACAGUAGAAUAGUAUUCCUCGGUCUUAAUAUUGCUAAUGUCAUUAGUAAAUGGAGAAAUGAAUUUUUCUUUACUUUGUUUCAUGCAUAUUAUAAGAGAUUGCGGGAAAAUACUCAAUUCCCACUAUGCCAAGUAUGUGCAUUUGUGAUUCCUAAUUCUAUACAGAAGAUUGAUCGAUUUGAUAGGACCUACCCUAGAAUUGCGUUAAUGCCUCGUUUGAUAAAUGUGUAAAGAGAACAAUUAAUCUUUAGUAACAUUUUUGCAUAGGUGUGUUAAAAAAAGAAAAAGGAAAAAAGAGUUUGCACAUUUGUAGUCUACCAUCUAAUUCUAAAGAAGUGAAAAUAAGAAAAAAAAAUCAUAUGAACAAUAUGUUAAUUCAAUUAAGCACCCUUUCCCAAUUUUCAUUAGUUUUCCUCAAUAAUUGAAUGUUAUAUAGAAAUCAAAUGACAAAAAUAUCUCUAAACUCAUCCUAGCAGCAAGAAAUAGAGGGGUACACCCAGGUGAUAGUAUUGAAGAUUGCAAAUACGAGAUAGUUAAAUAAAUUAUAAAGAUAGGUUUUGUGUUUUUUCCCCCUUUGAUUUUUUAGUGUUUAGAUGGAAAUUAAUCUUCUAUUAGUGUCGAUGUUCUAAUUGAUCUAACAUACUUCUUCUCUUAAUAAAUAUAUUAUUUUAAAGAGAAACAUACUGAUGAUGAAAUUAUAUUAUAAAUCACUAACAAUUAUCUAUAAUUUAUGUAAAUGAUUGUGAAAUAUCCAAACAAAUAAUAUAUUCAAUUCUGAAAACCUUUUUCUUUCUUUCAUGUAUAUAUUCUGCGAAAUCCAUGCUUGUACUGUUCUGCUUCUGACCUUCCCUUAUCUAUGCUAUAUAUAUCAUGAAUUUGAUGAUUCCAGUGUUUAUGAUUAGGAUAAUCUGAUCAUAAUGAACUAAAUACUAAUAUAUGCAAUUGCAAUAUUUAUAUAUGUAUGUAUGGAAAUAGAUAAUUUUGCAUGGUAUAUAUGCAAAAGAAUUAAAUUUAAGAAUUCAAUUUGUUAUGACAGAAUUUAUGACAAAAUUGGAAAUGAUCUAAUUCGUCGAACAUGAAAAUACCAAAAGAGAAUCGAGAAAGAGAGCAGAAAAAUAAAAUACGUAAAUAUUAACGUGGUUUGACCAUUGACCUACAUCCACGAAUAAAUUAAGAUGGAGUAGAGAUCUUCAUUAUAAUCAAAUUAAGAUGGUUUGUUUAAUUGCGGUUCCAGAAUGUGAGACAUAUCUAACACAAUUGGAUAUAUGACAUUCUUCGUCACUGAAUAUUUUCAGAGGAAGUUUAGCUUGGAUCACUGAACCUUCUUUUGUUAUUUUAUUUUUCAAGAACAAACUUGAAUUUGUUAUGAAUGAGUUAUUAAACUUCAUUGUAUGUUCCAUGCAUUAAUAUUAAUGAAGCCAACUCUUUCUAACUAUUUAAUUGUAAUAACUUGACGGCUAAUCAGAUGCCACUUCAUCAACAACAGAUGACAACUUGAUGAUGUAGUUGAUUCAGUAGUCACUUCAUCUCCAAAAGAUGACUUUUUAAAGUGGCGUUUCAAAGAGAUCAUUUACUGAUGAUCCUUUUUUUUUUCUUUUUUUUUUCUUUUUUUUUUUUUCUGGUGAGGUGUUACGACAAACGCACAAACGGAAACGAAAUGACGAACACAAAAAAAAACAAUCAAACCACAAGCAGAAAAAUAAAGAGACACAGAUUUAUGUGGAAAACCCUUUGCAGGGAAAAACCACGGGCGAGGGAGGAGAGAACUUCACUAUGGAACGAAAAGAGAGUACAAUCUUCUUCAGGUUACAACCAACCACGAUCACACGCCUGUUGGCCCGAGCCCUCCGCUACCCACCACAGACAUUCAUUUUUCCUCCAUAAUUUUCUUUUCCAAAUUGGUCGCACCGCGAAGCUGUCGGAGAGUCGUAAACCCGAACCUGAAUCGAUAGUAGAUUUCGAGUCACAUCUAACAUGAGGAAAGAUGAUCUAGUUUGCUAUUGAGUCAGUUGUGGCAUCACCUUGAAUAAAUGGUUGGCAACUGCUAGUCGCAAUAAGAAUGCCAACAUCAUCUUCAACUGAUGGCAUGACAAUUAAAUCAAAUGCUAUAUAUAUAUAUAUGUUCUUUCCUCCUCAAGCAAAUUAAACAAAAUUUUGAUCCAUUAAUUGCAUUGAAACUGACAUUAAAGUUGUUCGACGAAUAUAAAGCUUCACAAUUAGUUUAGCAACUUAUAAUCCAAUUCCCCUUUCCAAUUCACUGAUGUAGAUGUGUAAGUUGGUGUUAUAUAAAUGCCUAAAAGCUCUUUAAUGUAAGAGCAAUGUUAGCCCUAUAACCAAAAGUUCAUUGUAAUCUUACUACUCUAUCAUACGAUAAUUCAUAUUUCUCUGUUAGUCCUAUCAUCGUCCUUCUUUUAUCACUAAAAUCCAAGAAUUAAUAAUUUUUAUAACCUUGAAGGAAAGAUUACAACCCUCCUCAGAUGAACAGUUAAAUCCUACUACUCUUUUAGGGUUUGUAAUAUUUCGGAAAUGUUAUAUAUUGUUAAGUAAUAAAGUGCUAACGAUUUCUAUCAAGCAUGAAAAUGAAAAUACCCCUUAAGGUACCCAUAAUAAUUUAGUAUUCCUAACAGUUAGGAAUUUUCAAUGGUUCUACUAUUUCAUUACCACUUUUUACACUUGUCCUACUUGAGUUGAACAAAAGUGAUAAUUUGAAAGCGUAUACGAAUAAUACAAAUUAACAAUGAACUAAAUGGGCCCUUAAUUAUUGUAAUUACACUUACUAAAUGUAUGAGCUAUGCUGACCCAGUAGAGCUAUAGUACGGCUAGUGCUCGGGAUACCUGGUGGCACUGGCUGGUGAUUUAAUAGUGGGUACAGGUGAUUUAGUAACAAAGCAACAGGGCCUGCUUUUUAUACUUACGAGCCUACAUAAAACGACACAAACAUAAUAUAUAUAUAUAUAUAUAUAUAUAUAUUAACUGAUCUUAACUCUUAUCUACAACACACCACCUGGGGGGGUUUGCUAAAGGGGUACUGGGUUAUAAUUAGAUGGACCGCGCAUGCAUGCACGGCCCCAGCAGUGAGCAGACCAGGUCCAGGGUGGUGGUGAUUCGAAGCGAGCGAGCUCCACCGGAUGGGGUCGGAUUUUGGGUCCGUGGGAUUGGUCGGAUAAGGACUAUCUGAAACCACGUCGUUUUCCUCAAACCCCCGCCCUUCCAACGUGUGGACGUGAUCUUUUUGUGUCGUGACCGUUUUACCAAAACGGACGGUGACAACGACACCCUUAAUUCAUUCCCACCCUCAUUGCAUGCGCCCUGUUUAUUAUAUACGCGCUCCAACUCUAAAACUUUAUAAGUAUGAGCUCCCUUAUACUCAUAAGUUUUUGACCCUUAGAUUUAUUCCAUAAUCAUUUCCACCUGUUAGAUCAUAUUAUUCAACCAACUACCCACUCAACACUAGGGGACCACUAUCAUUCUAAGUGGGGACCACCAUCAUCCUAACCACAUAACCCAUCAAUCAACGGUUAAAAAUUUAUGAGUACAAGAAGUUCUAUACUCAUAAGAGUAUAGUAGCCCCAGCCUCUAUAUAUAUAUAUAUAUAUAUAUAUAUAUAUAUGCACUCCAACUCUAAAAGCUUUGUAGUUGAUACCCGAGAUUAAUAUUUUCAGCUAAGUUUAUUUUUUUAAAAAAAAUGAACGAAACGAAUAACAUGCCACCUUUCUCUCAAAACAAAAAAAAUCUAAAACUUUUUCACGAGAGAAAUGCCAAGUAAUCUAAGGGUUUUAGGGUUUACUAACCUCUUUUUGAUUUUCUUUUUUUUUUUACUGGGAAAAAAAAAGCGAGUAUUAAUAGGAGUUGUAAAGAAAAAGUGAACUUUGAAUGGGGUGGUGGUAGGAAUUACAGCCCAUUUUGGACUGUAGAUCUAGCAACGUGUUUGUCAUUAAAUAUUCACAUUGGAAGUUAUAAGUUUUGAAUAUCUAUUUCUUAUAAUUAAUAUAUACUAUUUUUGGCAUGAGAGCAGGGUCGCAUUAAUAAUUAAUACACGGAUUAUAGGCUAUUUAAAUAUUACAGAUCAUAUUUAUCAAAUUAAAUUUUGACUUUUAAAAUAUCGAUCAUCAAAUAUUUGUGACAAAGGAUUAAUCUAGCAGGAACUCACAUGUUUAAUGAUAAUUAUGUGAAGCAUGUCAUAUGUAUUGCCAGAAAAAAAAAAAAAAAAAAAAAAAAAAAAAAAAAAAAAANNNNNNNNNNNNNNNNNNNNNNNNNNNNNNNNNNNNNNNNNNNNNNNNNNNNNNNNNNNNNNNNNNNNNNNNNNNNNNNNNNNNNNNNNNNNNNNNNNNNNNNNNNNNNNNNNNNNNNNNNNNNNNNNNNNNNNNNNNNNNCACUACAACAAAAACGGUCUAUAGCGACACUUUUAAAUGUAGGUACAUGUCAAAAAAGUGCUGCUAGCUAAAAUUACCGACACUUUUAAAAAGUGUUGCUAUAUGUGGGGUCGCUAGGUAUAUAGUGACAGUUAAAGAGUGUCGCUAUAACCUAAAAGAGUACUGCUAAUUUACCAACACUUAUUUAAGCAUUUAGUAACCGCUGAAACUCUAUCUCGUUGGCUGCGGUGGCAGAGGAGGACGACAGGAAAGGCUCUUCGUCUAGAAUUUCAGUGGAUUGAGUGAAGAGAGAAGAAAAGAUGGUAAUUGAUUUUUCUUUUUUUUUCUUUUCUGUUUGUAAUCGGGUCAAAUGGACUGGGUGUGGUGAGUUGAGUAGAGUAAUUUUUUAUUUUUGGUUGGAUUGUGCUUUAUAUUUAGGCAUAAGUAGAUGUUUUUUUAAGUUUUAGUAUAAAUGGGACACUUACUCAAAAGUGUCCCAAACAUGUGUCCCUAUAAACUAAUUCUGUUGUAGUGUAGAUCGAACUGGGAUAGUUUAAUUAGGACUUGCUUUGAUACCAUUUAAGUGAAAGUUAAGAUCCAUCUACGAGCAACUGAUCUAGGUGUAGUUUUUAAAAAUGGCGUGGCCGAUCGCAUCUAUAACAUUAUUGCCUAAAUGCUUGAUGGUUGGUAUCUGGGUCUAAAAUUUGAUGUUUAGUUAUUUCAUAUUUCUAACUGAGUUCAUUUAUAAAAAAAAAAUUAGUGAAGCAGACGGCUUACUAUCUUUUUUUUCAAAAAAAAAAGAAAAGAAUACAAUAUAAAUUAAGUGGGGUGCAUGAGAUGUUUGGAUACACUGGAUACACCUGAUGCAAGCAAUAGUUUCUCAUCCCAUGUGUUUCCCUUCGGUGAUGAACUCCCACACAGUAAAAGAUCACCAAGUUGGGAUCGAUCAGGAGCUCUAUAGCUAACUAGCGUGUGGUCGAUAUUCCCGAGAGAGAGAGAGAGAGAGAGAGAGAGAGAGAGAGAGAGAGAGAGAGAGAGGAGGGCUCAGAGGCGGCAGAGGUGGGGGAGAGGAGCAAGAAAGGGACGUGUGCAUGGGCCUCUUAGCUUUCCCUUUCUCACCCGUUGUUUUCGUAGUAAUGAGCGAGGGAAAAAAGGGGGGGGGGGUUGUGUGUGUGUUUGAGUUCAAGUGUUUAGACCCCUACAAUUCUUUUCUUUUUUUCUUUUUUUCUUUUUUUUUAAUAUUUCUCUCGUUUCUCGGAUCCCCUCUUUAGACUCUUUGAAGAAGUAGAGCCCAGAGUAGCUGCAGUAUAUCUGCGUAGAUCGUCGCAGUAGUUCUCUAGCGUCGAGGGUGUAAUCGCAGAGAGCUUACUUUUAGCCUCUCCAAGCCCCCGCCUCCGCCUCCUUAGGAUGGUUUGGAUAUUGGUAUUUUGUACACAGAGGAGAUAGAUACCUUUGUCCAAAGGUACAAAGAUCAAAGUGAAUGAAACCUGUUAAAAAUAAUAAUAAUAUAUAAUAAGAGAAUGUGAAACAAUAAAUUAUAGCAUGCACCUGAUGUAUAUCCAUACAUCAUUUACUAUAGGUAUAAAGCUUACGCUCUAGGAUAUUUGUGAUUCAUAUUUUUUUCUUUGUCUUGUCAAUAUUUUGUUUAAUCUAUGCGAAAAAAGGAUUUAACAAUCCUUGAAUGUAGAGAUGUAAGAUUUAUAUCCUUAGAACGGUGGUAUAUGUUUCUAAGAAUAUUUCACAGAAAUAUUAAAAUUAAUCAAAAGUACAUAAUUCAUGAAAUAUUUUUACAGUAUAUAAAAGGCCUACUUAUCAAAUUAUUAUAUUAGUUUUGGACACAGAUUUUCUGAUAAAUCAAAUAAUAUUUCUUUCCAUGCAUGUUAUUGAUUUGUGACUAUACGUUACUUUAUAUGUACAGAAAUAGAUUUUCAGAACUCGUGGUUUUGUUUGCAUAUAAAUAUUUCGUUCGGCGCAUUUCUAUCUUUUUUUUAAAAUUUAAGAAGCCUAUAGCAUUUGAUAGAGACUAACCAAAUGUUUAGAAAGACAUAAUUAACGCACUUGGUCUUCAAGUCAUUUUUUUAGAAUAAUAUAAAUAAUUUCAUAGGUAUAAUGUACUGGAUCAUAAAUGUUAAGACAUUUUAAAGAGUGAAAAGUAAACUUCUAAAUUACAAUCACAAGCUAAAAAGUUUAAAUAUGAAUCACUCAAUAAUGGACAUGAUGUAUGAGGCGUACAAGUAAUAUUUGCUUACCCGCAGCUAAUUUUUCAUGUCAAAAUAAUGUUCAUUAAACUAAAAUUUAGGUGAAUAUUAAUUUCCACUGCUUUUAUAAGAUAGAAAAGUUACCACUGAUUUUCGAACUAUAGUUAUUUUAUUUCUUAUUUAUUUUACCAAAUAUUUUCACGCUAACACAUAAAAUGAUGACAAAAUUAAAGUUAAGCGUAAAGUUAGUUUUUUAAAAUAUUUUUGUCUCUUUCUUUUUCAUGAUUAACUUUUCUUCCAUCCAAUGCAAAUUAAAGCCAAUUACAGUGUUCUGAAAAAGCAGAGCUACAAAAAAAAUAGUAAAAGAAUUAAAUAUUUACAGUAAAAAAAAAAAAAAACUCCGUCAUUCUUUUAUUUUUUGGUGAAAUAAGCAUGCCCUAGGCGCAGGCAAUAAAUUUUUUUUUUUUGAGAGAUAAGUAGCACGCUAUCUGCUUCGUUUAUUUUAUUUAGAAAUAAAUUUAGCUAGAAAUGUAAAUUAAUUAGAAUUCGAACUUAAAUUUUGGGUAUGAACUAUUAAGUCCUUUGUCGCUUGCUCUAGGAACAGUCGGUAGGCGCAGGCAAUAGUUUGAGAGAGAAAUUGUAGGCAAUAGUUUAGAGGGAGAGGGAGCUAAUAAAAAGAAGAGAAAAUUACAAAGCUUUUCACUUUUGAUGAUUUGACAGCACACGACCCCUCCUCACUCAGUAACAAAAGAGCAGCAGCAGCAGAAGACAGAGAUCCUCCACUCUCUCUCUCUCUCUCUCUCUCUCUCUCUCUCUCUCUUCAUUACAACCCUUGUCCUCUUCUCAAAUUCCCCCCCCCUUAUCUUUCUCUCACCAUAAAAAUAAAUAUUAAAACCUUCACACUAUCUUAGCAUUUAAAAACAAAUGGCUUUAUCUGUUUCUUUGUUAGCUUUUAGUUUGGAUUGGGGUGGCUCCUCAUUCUCCUCCACACAUUCCGAGGGGUGGGGAUUAGGGUUAGGAUUGUGGGAUCCAACCAUAAAUCUCUCUCUCUCUCUCUCUCUCUCUCUCUCUCUCUCUCUCUCUCUCUCUCUCUGAAACGCAGAGAGAGGCCAAAACCAAGCAACAACCCACAUGGAACCCAAGCAUUCCCACCCCUUCCUUUCCAAACUUGUGCUCCUGCUUUUUUCACUGUGCUUCUCCCCCUUUCCCCACCCAUUUACACUAAAGCCUGCGACGCACCAACGCCACGCACACACUCGCGUACACUUCGCCGUGCUUUUCUUUUAGCUGUGCGUGCUUGGACUGUCCCAGAUUAUUGCCUACCUACAUCACUCCACCCUCCAUGAAUGGCGUACUACUGUGAUAAAGAUUUACAGUUUCCACCGCAUUAAUUUGGUCGGAGUAAAGAUAUUGGUCUUUCCCUCAAAUAUAACAUGCAUAUAUCGUCCUACGUUAGAUUAAACGCGCUCAUGGCUACGCGUCGCGUCAUGUUAUAUAUAUAUACACGACAAAAUGAAUAUUUUUAUUCUUAUUAAACUUGAUUUACAGCCGAACUAUAACUUCAUCAAUCCAAACGUACCAUUAUAUACUCUCACACUAUAUUUACUAUUUGUGAAUGGUCAAUGCCCUUCUCACGACUUUUCUUCGACUUACAAGAACUUUAUUUAUAAAAAUGGUCUCAUAUAAAUAAAUAAUAAUUAAGAGAGUAGUACUGGAGAGUUCAUACCACUUUAUGAAUGAAGUGGGUAGCUUGUUAUUUUUUUCUCAAAAAAAAAAAUGAACAUAAGAUUUUGGAUUCAUAUUUAAUGGAUUUCCAUAGAUAAUUUCACACAAGUGAGCUUGAACCGGACUUGGCCUACCUAACAAACAUUUUUCUUCAUGAGAUUAAAAAAGAAAGGAAAAAGGAAACGCAUAUCCUAAGCAUAUCCCCUACCUUCUUAGGAUGGGUCCGUUGAAAUGAAAUAAGCAUCCUAAUUAAGCAUCCUCAUAUUUACACAUUUCUUCUAAAUUUAUAUAUCUCUUUUACUACAAUUAUUAAAAUUGUAUAGUAUUACUAUAUGACUGGUGCGUGUGUAUAUAUAUAUAUAUAUAUGUGUAUAUAUAUAUAAAACAAAUAUAAGAGUUUUUUUUUUUUUUGCAGUGUGGUAUAUAGACCAAGACCAUGAAUAAUUUUCUCAGGACCACAGCACACUGACCGGUCCUUAAGCAAACUACAAUAACUCCAUCGCCCUUCAAUGACGCGCAGAGGAGGUGGGGCCUCCAUGUGGAGCUACAUCCACGUCAUCAUUCCCUCGUGGACCAUCAUAUCCCCAUGGUUGAUGUUGUUAUUGGGCGAUGAUGGUGUGCACGUGUCGCUCGUUCAACUGCGUGGCGAAGUGGUUAAUGCCACGGCCGUAGUAGACCAUACCAGGGGGAGAUAUAUAGACCCAUACACAAAUCAAAGAGGACGAGAAACCAUUCCUUAGACUGUGCCCACCACGUCAUUUGUGAACCAGCCCAAAUACUACGUAAAUUCAUUUUUGUUUUCCAUACUUAUAUUUUUAUCAUGUAAGUGAGUGAGUGAGAUUGUUAAAAUUACAUAUCCAUGCAAUGUUUUUAUUGAGAUCGAUGAUUUGGUUGACAGAAGGGAAGCAGACGGGAUCGACGGCUGAGAUAAAAGUGCGGUUCACGGCUGAUAUGAUGGACCAAGUAUAGGCAAUAGUUUUUAGUGGGAGAGAUUCCCUUUAAAUGAUCUGAACGGGUCUGAUCUGAUCUGAUCUGAUGUGGUCUGGUCUGAUCAUCCUAUUGAAUGGGCAUCACGAGUAACUCGUGAUACGAGAAACUCUGCACUUUGUCUUCAAUUUGUGUCUCUCUCUCUCUCUCUCUCUCUCUCUCUCUCUCUCUCUCUCUCUCUCUCCCCCACCAUACCAAACCCCUUCACUCUCUCCUUCUCUCUUUUCUCUCUCUCUCUCUCUCUCUACUCUCUUAAUUCCGUGCGACCUAUAUUAUUUGCACUAGGCUUUGCGCCCAUCUCUAUAGGUACUUCUCUACUUCUUAUCAUCUCUCUCUCUCUCUCUCUCUCUCUCUAUGUAUGUGUGUAUCUCUUUCUCUCUCUACUCUCUUAAUUCCGUGCGACCUAUAUUAUUUGCACUAGGCUUUGCGCCCAUCUCUAUAGCUACUUCUCUACUUCUUAUCAUCUCUCUCUCUCUCUCUCUCUCUCUCUAUGUAUGUGUGUAUAUAUAUAUAUAUAUACAUAUAUAUAUAUAUAUAUAUAUAUAUAUAUAUAUAUAUGUAUGUAUUAUAUGUGUGUGUGUAGCUAAGUAGUGAUACGUAAGGACACAGAGCUAUGAUGAACCUUGUCGGUGUAGACGAUGGGGGAGGAAGAGGAGAUGGGUGAGCGAAUACCGAGAAAAUUAACAACAAAGAAUAAUAAAAAGUUGGCCACACUUAAUGCACCCUGCUCAUGUUUGUUGCUUGGUGUUAUAUAACCAACCUGACCUAGCUAGCUCCCCCCUUCUCUCAAUCUCUCUUAACUCAUCUUAUUCAUGCCCAAAAAAUCGAUCCAUUUGAUGGAAAAUAACUCAGUCAUUAUUGUAACAUUUUCAUUCGCAUGCACGGUGGAAAUUCAGGAGCACGCAUGACGGAGAUCAGAUUACAAACUAGUCUUAAUUCGCAUGCAUACAUGGUGGAGAUCAUGUGAACCACGUUAAGUACACUUUCAAAAAAUCAAUAUGAUAGGACAAUAAUAUAAAAAUAAUGUGCGCGAUUUUUAUUCCAGUACACAUAUAAAUAUGUACCGAUUAGGUUCGAUGUAACUGAAUUUAAUAAAUUCGAUCCGCUUCCGAAGUACCUAUGAUACAUUAUUAUUAUUUUCAUUAUGUUAUACUCAUUACUUUGUCUCCUUCCUCCUUCGUAGUGCACGAACCCUAUCUAGUAUUAGGGCUCAUGAAGCAGCUUAGUUAGAGAGAGAAAGAGAGGCCGCAUGGUGGAGGUAGUAGGCGAGCGCUUCGAGGAGUUGGACAUGGCGGUGGCCUCUGCCAAAGUUGUAAGAGUGCACGGGAAUAGAAAUUGAGGCAUCAAUUAAUAAGUCUUAGGAUCUAUUAAAGAGAUUGCCUGGCCUCAAAGUCAACUUAGAACUUAGCUGUAACCAAGCAUGCAUGACGAUCCCAUGCAGAGUAGUUGACCACCUCGUUGACAAACCCCACUGUUGAUGUUUUAAAUUAUAUGUUAGGUUGGUUCCCUAGUUAGAGCUUCUCUACACCAUGUAUAUACGGACCCCAGUCUCAAUUUACAGCUUUGGACAGGGUUGGGUCGAGCUUGGACUCGAAUUCAUUUGAGGUUUGUGUCAAAUUGGGCUAAGAUCUACAGAGAACUAACCAUCACUAGGCCCAAUUGUAUGGACCGCACUUGUCAUUUCGUGAGCCCAAUUGACAACCCUAGUGCUAAGCUGCAUUGCAAGGGAAGAACUAUAAGAACGAACUAUAAGAACUAUAUAUAAAAGAGAAAGAUACACGAAGAAUCAAUUCUUCGACCAGAGAAAAAUAUUAUUAAUUAACUCUAAAGGCUAAUUAUAUUAAUCGAAAGACACACAUAUAUAUAAAGGGUCGAUACCAGAAUUCUACAUAAUUGAAAAUAAUAAAUUCUAAUUUAUCGCUAUACCUAAACUCAUCAGAAAUAACUAAAUAAUUAGACUCAAAAUAAAAAAAUAUAUAAAACUUUCUGAAAAUAAUAUAAAAAAGCAAAAAUGGAGAUCUGAAUAGUUGAAUUUGGAUUCCAGACUCAGCCAAAACUGUUUUGUCAUUCAAUAGGUAGAUUUCAAAAAGUGUUUUUCGAAUUGGAGUUCGCAUGCUGAAAACGGACACACGAUAGAAAAGUUAUGGUAGUUUAAAGAUUUUUCACGCUAAUUAUAAAAAUUAUUGAACUUAGCGGAAUUAUCGGCUCAGUUAGUUGAUCAGUAACACUUUUUCAGAAACUCUAACGCUAAAUUUGACUGCAUCACUUAGUUGAACCAUAUAGGUGUGGAAUACAUAUAUAGUAAAGCCUUUCAAUCACCAACCACAAGUUGUACGGAGAAUAUGUACUUCAACAAUCUAAUUUACCCCCCACACUGCUUUAAAAUUUACUCGUUCAUCCAAAAUUAAUGGUGAAGUAGGUGUCUCGAUGCAUUAAAAGCUUAGUAUAAUUGUUUUUCUUCAAUCGCACUGUAUUUUCAGACAUUUUGUAGCUCAAAGAGAGCAUACGUUGAGUAAAAUUUGUGAGCAUAGUAAUAUUCCGUAAAAAGGAUUUAACUGGUCAUACUUUUUUUGAGAGAGAGAAAAAUAACAUGCUUACCAUCUCGUUCAUUUUUUAAAAAAAAUCUACUAAGUUGAAAUUUAAAGCAACUAAGUUUUGAUUGAGUUUGGGGCCUCGAAAACUGACCAUCAAACUCUCCACCCCCUACACUAUGGUCAGUCGAUAUAUAACUAGUGCAAAUGUGACCUGAACCCGAUAUAUAUAUUACUAUUUUACAUCUCUUAUUUGGAACACCAUAAGAAAAAUCCAUAAUGGAGAUUUCAAAGUCCAAAUUUAAUUUAUUGAACAUAUUCUACAAUAUUUCAAAAGGCUUACGUAUGAUUGAGAACAUAAACUUUGGACAGCAGUAGUUUAUAGAUCAAGCAAUGUAUAUAUAACUCCUUUUUCUGUCGUUAAUUUUUAAAAUUAUUCAGUGACUUAGUAAUAUUGUGUGUGUAUAUAUAUAUAGAAUUAUAUAUAUAUUGAAAUAAUUUUAUCUAAUAAUUAAUAACUCAUUCGAAAUAAAAUUUUUUUAUUACGAUUGGAGUUAGAAUUUUUUUUGUUUUCUCCAAAAAAAGAAGCUGCCCGUUUUAUUCAUUUUUUUAAAGAAAUGAACUUAAUAGAAAUGUAAAACAACUAUACUUCAAAUUUGGAAUCUGGGAUAUCAAUAAUCAAGCUCUUUACCUACCUGCGCUAAGGACAGUCGGUCCAGAAAUUUAAUUUUUGCUUAUUGAAAUGUCUUUUAAUCUAUGAUCGGGUUGAUAAGAUAGCACACUUUGGUCUUGCUCGGAUGUCAAAAUAAGUUAUUCAUUCAUAUCAAAUUAAGUAUGAAAAUUUUUAUUGAAAUUUAACAGUGUGACCAAUUAUCCAAAAUUGAAUAAUAUAUUCAGCUUUCAAAUUAUUUUUCUAGAAUAAGAUAAAUCAUAUUGUAAGUGAAAUAUACUAUUCUAUUUGACGAUGGAUACCAAAAUCUUUCAAAUAGCAAAAAAUAAAUUUCUAUCCUUCAAUUAUACAAGAGAAUCUCGAUACCGAAUAAAUUAUUAUUGGAUAGCCUAUUUUGAUAUUCAGACAAGACAUAUACCUAAAAAAUAAUUUAUCUUUUUUUGAGAAUAGGUAGCACGCUACCUGCUUCAUUCAUUGAAUGGAUGAAUUGGGCUACAAAGGUGAGGCAGCGAGGGCCUCGAGGAAAAACAAUAUCAGCAGAGGUAUAUAAAAAAAUAAUAAUAAUAAUAAUAAUAAUAAUAAUAAUAAUAACUAUUAAUUUAUCUUAUUCUGGAGAAAAAAUGACUUUCAAGGCCAAAAAUAGUUUGUCUACUAAAAAUUUAAUCGCUCACACUCCAGAUCUGUCAAAUUUUAUAAGCUUUAUACUUAAGUUAAAGAAAAGGUAUGCUUCAACACAUCAUAGGUAUUGAAAUCUAACUAUUAAUUAGUGAAAGGAUAUGUUUGGAUUUUAUAUUAAUUAAGUAACCUGCUGAACAUGUUACCGACUUAAAUUAGUCAAUAAGGUAGUAUUGUAGCAGUAUAUAAUAAAUUUUUAAUAAAUUUUUUGAGAGACCUCAGGUACCAACUACCAAAUAGUUUACCACUUACGUUAGCAACUAUUUGUUAAUUCCUUAAUAUUGUUGUUUACCAAAUUAGAUAAUGCUCAGUUUGUUAAGUAUCCAACUCAAAAAGAAUAUUGAAUUUAAAUUUGAUUUUUAAACGUAGUAUUGUAGUGUAAAAUUUUUAUUUUGUAAUUUAAAUUCAAUUUUUAAAUUUAAACCUAAAUCAUACUCUCAAACUUAAAAUCAAUUUUUAAUUUUUGAUGUAAAUUAAAAUUUUAAAUUUAAACUAAAUAUUUUAUUCUGAAUUUAUAUUUUAUAUUUAAAAAAAUUGAAUGCGAUACAAAAUUAAGUUUCAUAGCGUUGUUUUCAAGUUAAAUUCACAGUUUGGAUAUAAUUAGAAUUUCUAUCAUUAUUGUAUAUAUUUGAAAAGUCCACAAUAGUUUUAGUUUAAUAAGACAAAUCAUGGUGAAUACUACAUAUAUCUCAAUAGCAGGUCACCUCAAGAGUUAUAAUCAAUCUCAACUUCUUAUUUUGAAAAAUUAGCAUGCUACCUCUCUCUCUCUCUCUCUCUCUCUCUCUCAAAAAAAAAAAAAAAAAAAAAAAAAAAAAAAAAAAAAAAAAAAAAAAAAAAAAAAAAAAAAAAAAAAAAAAAAAAAAAAAAAAAAGAAGAAGAAGAAAAAAGAAGCAGUCAAAGGAUGUAUUAAAAUCGGCCUAAUUAUCAAAAUAUGUAUCUAAUAAAAUGUUAAUGAACUUAAAAAGAACAAUUAAGUUUUAGGUGUUACAAAACCUAUUGUUUGUAUUACUAGGCCGGCUGAUCGUACGGACAAUAGGCCAGGGCCAGUAGAUCGUACGGCUGUGAUCUGAUCAUGAUCUGAUGAACCUGUGACCUUUACGGCCACGUUGAUGCGACUCGUUAGAGGAGGUGAUACAUUGUAGGCGUUGGUGAAUCAAGGUCUUUAUUACCAUGCGUACAGCGUACAUGGUGUACCUCCUUGUACAUUUCUAGGGUUUUGGUCGGGAACACUUUGACGCAUUUUAAAAAAGAGAUUUUUUUUAUAUAUAAAUUAUUAUUUAUUAAUGCCACUAUUAUUUUAUAGAAAUAUAUUCACAUUAUUUGUAUUAAUAUAUCAACAAUUUAUAAGAAUAACAAUAUAAAUAAUUAUACUAGAGAGUGGAUUCUCUCAACCUUUAGAUAUGUAAAAUUUUCUGCGCUUCCAAAAAUUAUUAUUUUUUUAUUUUAAGUGCCCAUAACAAAGUAAUUUGGAGGACGUAGUCAUAGUUAUUUAUCAUUUUUUUGAUGAAAGGGAUAAUAAAUAGCCAAUGUAAAUUUUAGAAUAGAACUAAAUUCAUAAACAAAAGGAAGAAAUUAUAAUUAGGUUAAAUUACAAAAGCAUUCCUCAAUGGUAGCUCCAGUACUAUAUGAAAAAGUAUACAUUUUGCCACUAUUUCAAAUAGAUUUGAAAAUUUUGAGUGGUAAUUAAAUUUAGUCGUAAAAUUUUAUAAAACAAGUUUGUAGAUAAAGUUAUUCGUCUUUAGAAUAAUAUUGCCAUGGUAGUCAAUCUCCAUUUUUUUAAUCGAUUUUUAAGUUACGGAUUAGACAAAUAUUAAGAUGUAGAAAAAUAUAAUAGACAUGUUAACUUAUUUUAAUGAAGCUUUGCAAUGAAAUUCCCCGAAUACACCAAAUUUUGUAACCUAUUUGAAACAACGACAAAGUGGAGGGUGGUAACAUGUGAAACAUUUAAAUACAAACCAGAGUAAUCGAGAGAUGGACAAAGACACAGAGAGACAAAUAUAAUUUAGACAAUUUAUAAACAUCGAGAAAUGCCAAAUAUAAAUCAAUUGCGCUAGGUACGGUCGGUGCACACUCAGCUUGUGCGAGUUGGGCCUGGGACUAAUCCAACAAAUUAGCCCUCAGAUCCAAAUUUGGCCCUGAAAAAAGAAAAUUGAUGCUUCCUUUAUUGGGCCUGGGUUCAUUACAAAUUUCUAAACUUAUUCUCUAUUUUAUGUUGAGUCAAUGGAGGUUUCGAGAUGCAAUUUCUUUUUUUCGUUUUCUUCUUUAUAAAAAAAGAAAAAGCCCAACUCCAUUACUAUAUGAUAAUCAAAUGGAUUCAACUUGGAUUCAACUUGUUUACGUGCCUAUAAUAAUUUACCAAGCAACUGCUUCUCAUGAGGCAAAAUUUGCAAGGGCCAUAUUGUUUGCGUGAAUUUCUAAACAAUUUAUUAUCGACUCACGAUAAUAUCAUUACAUCACACCGACCCAAUGUCCCUAGCACAAGUGGCAAAAAGGUUUGGUGGUUGGUACCCGAGACGCAAGUUCGAAUCCUAGUUGAUUCAUAUUUCCAGCUGAGUUUAUUACUAAAUAAAAUAAACGAAGCGAGUAGCAUGCUAUCUUUCUCUCAAAAAAAAAAAAAAUCAUUACAUCACUUUUGGCAUAGCCUAGUCCAAAAACCUAGAAAAAAAAAGACAAAUCAUUAUCAAGUCACAUCUUUUUAAUUGGUGUUGUUCCUAAUCAUUAGAAACAAACAAUUUGGAGAUAAAUAACGUUGUGCACUCCAUUGAAAUGUCACUCAAAAGUCGCUUACAUACUGUGAGAAAAAGAGGCCAUGCAUUGAUUGAGAAAAUGUGGAUCCCAUUAAUUUAAAGCCUCACUGUAUAAGUACGUACGUUAGCGUGUGAUCUUGGUAGAUUAAAACAUAUUAUUGUCACCAUCAUAUACAUAUAAAAACUAUAUCGAAAAAAUAAAAUUAAGGGCUCCAAUCACUAAAUUAAUACUAGUAAAAUCAACUAACAAGUAAAGUAUAUUUGGAUCGUGUAAUGCAUGUAGGUUGUAUUUGAAAGUGGUUUGGCCUUAAAGUGCUCUCAAAGGCCACUUAGACACAAAUAGAGACCAUUUGACGUGAUGUGAACACAAGGCAUAUAUAAUCAAAAUAAAUAAAUAAAUAAAUCAACCAAUCUUUUAAAUAGGAAAACAAAAUAAUCAUCUUCCCUGCUACCAAUUAAAAAAAAUAUCUAAUCAACUUUGCUAAAAUUUGUGUUUGGUGAAUAUUGCAUACCAAUUUCUAGCAUCGACUAAGGAAUCUCUAUACUGUUUUGGACUUUUUUUCUUUUUUUUUUUUGAAAAAAAGCUAUCUGCUUCAUUCAUAAAGCGGGAUGAAUUAAGCAUACAGAAUGGAAGCAACAACGGCCUCCGAAGGCAAUAAAAAUUGAAAACAAAGAAAGAAGAAAGUACAGAAAUUACAAGCAAGAAAAAGAAGGGACGGGGAGGAGCGGGAAUGCUUGGAGAGGAGCAAAAUCAAGACAAUAUACUCCAGUCAUUUAGGAGUCCGCUGAUGCGGUCAAUUGAACGUACUGCGUUAGGUGGUGCAGCCCGAAAGAUGACGGCAUUUCUAUCAGUCUAGACGACCCACCAAGUUGCCGCCAGAUGAGUUAGGCCUUUGGAUUUUAACGCAGCAACAGGGUUGUCGGACACUUUGGCCCAAAGCUCGCAGGCUGGUCCCGAGGUUUUAGGAAAUGAAUCAAGGUCUGCCAAAGAGAAUAGGAGGAAGCAAACAAAAAUGCAAUUAGAGAAUAGAUGGUCGCAGCUUUCCGGGAAAACCCCACAUAGCACGCAUAGCGGGUCUAAGGGCAUGCCUUUGGUGAUCAACCUGUCAAUAGUGAGUAGUCUCUUUCGAAGCAACGUCCAGAUGAAAAUCUUGAUUUUGGUCGGUAUCUUCAAGGUCCAGAUGUGUUGGUUCCACCGAUCUCUACAUCCACCGUCAGUAAUGAACCGAUAUUGUGAUUUAACCGAAAACAGGUGAUUGGUGUUCCAUCUCCAUCAGAGCGAGUCUUGUCUUGCACGGGUGUCUACAUAGAAGUGUCUCUUUGAGUAAUUGCAAUUGUCUACUAGUAUGAGCCGAGUGGGACGCACGAAGCCUCUCGUGACGAAACGCCAUCUCCAGCCAUUAUGGUUCCGGCAUUGUGAUAUUCGAGCUUCCUUGUUCGUGAUUUGUGAAUAAAUGUCUGGGAACAAGGUGCUCAGGGUAGUUUCACCAAUCCAAAUAUCGGACCACAGUCUAAUGUUUCGUCCGUUACCAAGCUCGAAAGAUAUGCCACACUUGAAGGUAUCGCGGCAUUGAAGUACACCUUUCCACCACUGGGAAUAUGGUACAAAACUUCUUCCCUCAUAGAGUGGUCUUCGUCUGACAUAGUAGAGAGAUGAGAUCAAAUUGUGCCAUAGUAAAUGUGGUUCAUUAAAGUAAUGCCACCACCAUUUAGAUAGUAAGGCCAGGUUUAUGGCCUCCAUAUCUUUGAUCCCUAAUCCUCCUUCUUUCUUGCUUUUACAGAUAGACUUCCAACUAGCAAAACAAGCUCCUCCAGAGAUGCUGGAACAACCUUUCCAAAAAAAGGAUCUUCGGAGGGAUUCGAUCCGGUGUAAAAUCCAUUUCGGCGCUUUGUAAAUGGAGAAGUAGAAAAGCGGCAAAUUGGUGAGUACGGAGUUGAUGAGCGUAAGUCUGCCCCCUUGAGAGAGGAGUUUGGCUUUCCACCCCUCUAUUCUAGCUGAAAUACGGUCUAUAUCUGGAGCCCAAUCUUCCCUGCGAAGGUGUUUAUUAUAGAGCAGUAGUCCUAAAUAGAGAAACGGAAAGGUCGCAACUUUGCAACCUAAGAUGCUGGCGAGUCUAUUGGCUCUUUGGGGGUUAGGUCAAAGAUAGUACAUGUCAGAUUUGUCCAUAUUAAUUUUCAGCCCGGAUGCCUACUCGAAAAUGUGCCAAAUAAAUUGCAGGUUUCGCAUGAAGUAUUUCCUAGGCUCGGAGAGAACAAUUGUGUCAUCCGCAUAUUGGAUCAGAGAAUUUAAUGGAUUGCGUACAAGUCAAAUUUAAAUAGAGAUGGAUGCUCAAUUGGUCGUGAUCUUGAUAGUUAAUACUAUUUUUGAAUAAUUUGGUACUUGUUUUCUGUCGUUUAAUUUAUUUCGUUACAAGCCUGCGAAGAAAUUAAUGAAUGGAAAGUAAAAUAGCAACUAACAACAAAUUAUUUUUAAAAAAAAACGGUGAAAAAAUUACUUUAUUUUUAAUUUUCAACAUAGAGCAAUUUAUGACUAAUACGAGGCACCUCCAUUUUUAGAGCAACACUAUCCGUAAACUUAUUUAUAGAGUAUAUAUAUAAAUCUUAUAUUUUACACAUCUAAAAACUACUCUCUUUUUUUUUUUAACUAAUCUCUUUAGUUGACUAAGCGCAUUUAAGAUUUAUACUUACUGAUAGGUGCACAGAUAAUAUAUUUUUUAGAAAAACUUCAAAUAUCCAUCCUGUGGUUUCGCACUUUCUCACUUUAGUACCCUAUGGUUUAAAGUGUAUCAAGUUAGUAUCCUAUAGUUUCGCACUUUCUCACUUUAGUACCAUGUGAUUUAACGUGUAUCAAGUUAAUCCUCGUGGUUUCAUUUUUAUAUCAAGUUAGUACCCUAUGGUUUUAUUUUUCUCUUUUUAUUAUUCAUUUUGAGAUAUUUUUUUUUGUUAAAUCAGUGACAAAAGUUAAAACUAAAAAGUACUAAAAUAAAUAUUCGAUAAACCUAGAUAGGAUAUUUGAAGUUUUUUGUAUAUAAUUUAGUAAAAUAUUAAAUCACAUGGUACUAAAGUGAGAAAAUACGAAAUCACAGGGUACUAACUUAAUACACUUUAAACCACAUGGUACUAAAGUGAGAAAGUGCGAAACCACAAGGUACUAACUUGAUACACUUUAAAUCACAGAGUAAUAAAAUGAGAAAAUACAAAACUACAGGGGGUAUUUGAAGUUUUUUUUUUUUUUUAAUGUAUACAAAAGGGAACCCUUUUUUUUUGUUUAAUUUAAAAUUUUUUUGUCAAAGGAGUAGGUGCUAACGUGAACUGAUUACGAAGAUAUAAUUAUCGACUCCUCAACUUAAUUUAACGUCAAAAUACAGAGUCAACAAGCUGUGUUUUCCCAUCGAUCACGCAUUCAAAUCAGUACGGAAUGCGUACGAUUCUUUAAUGAUUAAAACAAUAAAAUAUUUAAAAUGUCCCUCUCCUGCCACGUUUCAACGUCGAAUAGUUGACUUUAAUUUACCAACUAACUAAUAUUUAGUUUAAUUAUUUUUUUUUUUUUUAGCAACGCUUAUCCUCUACAUGCAUGUAAUUAUAUCCUUGUAUACACUUCCUUCAGAAUUAUUUACACAUGUAGACAUUUGUUUUACUUAAGAUCCCAAACGCUAUUAGGAAUUUAUGUAUAAAUAAUCUCACAUUGAAUAAUAUAAAAAAAUAAUUAAUAUAUAAUAAUAGGGCAAAAUCGAAUAACUUUAAGCUUUCAGGUUGGAUGACUUUUAUUAGGUAUCUCCUAUCCUUGGUCGAUGUGGCUUCAGAUUGAAUCAGAAUUCACUGAUAAGCAGUAUCAGAAUCAGUAGUUUGACAAUUCUUGACUAGUUUAAAUAGUGUGAUUUGAUUGAGUUUUUUUUUUGGGAAUUAAAUAGCGAGCUAUCUGCUUCAUUCAUUAAGAAAAUGAAUUAGACUUACAUAAUGGAAGCAGACAGGGCUUUUGAGCGAGAAGGGCGAGACAAAAAAAAAUAAAAGACGAACAAAAAAACAAAGACAGAAAAACAACAAAUCACAAGCGAAAGAAAGAGCUACCACUACUGCUAUAACUGUUACAACCAACGCUACUGCAAUUGCUUCUAUUACUACUACUACUAUGUUUUCCAAUUAUUCAUCCAUCAGCAGAUUUAUACGGUCUAGAGCUCGGGAAGGAUUAGUUUGCUUAGCACGGAUGGAUUUGUGAAGGGUUAGACUACUACUACCCUUCACAUGAUGGGUUUGUGAAGGGUUAGAUUAGGUUCACAUUGGAAAAAAGUGACGCUUUGCUAUGCUCAGAGAGAUUGAGUUUAAUAAGGAGUUAGGUCUUCACAGUUAUAUAUUAAUCAAAAAACCUUUAGGUGACAUCCCGAGCUAAAAUUAUAAAUUCGAAUACUUUUACUGACUAUAUUUAUCUUGUGUAGUUUGGCUAAGAGUAUGAUGGUUGAUACUCAAAAUUUGAAAUUCGAAAAAAUAAGUAAAUCUAAAUAUUUUUUAGAUUUUUUAGGAUAAUAAUAUCUAUUUAAACCAAACAUCAGACAAAUUUAUUUAUUUAUUUUUUUUUUUUGAGAGAAAGGUAGCAUGCUAUCCGUUUCGUUUAUUUUAUUUAGAAAUAAACUUAGCUGAAAAUGUGAAUCAACUAAGAUUCGAACUUGGGUCUCGAAUACCAACCACCAAGCCCUUUGCCACUUGCGCUAGGGACGGUCGAUCCAAAUUUAUCUAAUGCCCUUUAUUUAUUUUUUUGAGAAAUAGAGUUUUAUAUAUAUAGUCCUGCUACUAUAUCGAUGGUACGUAUUAAGCUCUUGAUACUAUCAAACUUUCUACCGUUAGAUCUAUCUUUUGAUCAUUUUCACUUAUUUGAUUAUAUUAUUCAACCAACAACCCAUUCAAUUAAAAAGGACUACUUUCAUUCUAACCGCAUAUUCUUUCGUCCAACGACUGAAAAUUCGAAUUAGGAAAUAUUUUGAUCAUUUUUACUUAUUUGAUUAUAUCCAUUUCCUUUUGAAUUAGGAGAUAUUUUAAAAUGUUUAUUAUGAAAUCUCUCCGUGAAAUAAGCGUUGUAAUUAUUAUUAUUACGAAAAGCCAAAUUAAGGAAGCAUCGUAUGAGCUUCGUGUUCUUGAUGUUUCUACGCGAAAGCCAUAACUACAGGAGAACAAGUAAGUGUACCUGAUGAACGGUCCAUAAUAAUCUUCGAAUUUGGCGUUUUCGUGUGGACCGUACGUUACAGGACAACGUACGCACACUUCCCCCGGUUUUAGUGGUGGAGGUCACUUCUAUUUUUCCACAUUUUCUUCUCUUUCUCCAAAGUUGGCCACGUCGAAUGGCCACGUCAACAUACUCUGAAUAUUUAUUAAAAAAAAUAGUAAGGACUCUUUUUAGUGUCAUAUUUAUUUUAUUUUAUUUUUUAUAAAAAUGUGUAUAUUAAAAAUAUAGAAAUCGACUGUAAACUAUUUGCAAUUCUAUUCAAUUGAUCUUUAUUUGACAAUACAAAAUUAAAACAUAAAAAUUACAGUAAAAAAUUAAUUAAUAGAUCUAGCACUGCUUCUUUUCUUUUUUUUUUUAUAAAUGGACGCAUGCACAAAGUUAUUUAAAAUUAAUUUUCAAUUUACAUGUUACGUUUGUUUAUAAUUAAAGCUUCAUUAGCGGUAAGUUUGUUCAUUUAAUGAAGCUCCAUUAAUUAGCAUCGGUCCCUAAAAACCAAUCGAUACAACUAGUUUUUAUGUAGAAAUAUUGUUUAAACAUGAGAGUAAAUUAGAAUAGAAUUUGUAUUAAAAUGAUUAGUUCUCUUUAUGCAAGUGUGUGAUAUUCAUCUUUUUCGUAGAUUAUACAAUUUUUUUAAUGAUAUAAUUUUUAGGCUUUGGUUAUUACUACUGUUGUUUUUUUCCUUUGCGAGUAGACUUAUUUCUAAUAUCUUUACUGAAAUUCUUUUAUUUUCAUUUUCAUUCAAAGCCUCUGCUCUUGGUGCAAAACUAAUUUAUUUACUUACCUUUUUAAAAUGAUACUAUAUCUAUUAACACAUUUGACAAUAUAGUAGGAUGAAUAAGAUAUAUGAUUUGCAUCUUGAAGAGAGCAAACAUUUAACUUUUUUUUUUUCAAAAAAUAUAUCGUAAUUGAAUCAUUAUAUUAUUACGUAUGCAAUAUAUUUUCAUCAUAUUUUCUCACCGCACGUAAUAUAAUUUUUUUCUCCAAUCCCAAACAAAAUCCUAGUGUGCGAAUAAUUUCCAUUUUUAUUAUGGCAACAAUUUUGAACUUUUAAAAGGAUUAGAAUAUUCAAAAACCAACCAUAACUAGAUCCCUAAUUAAUCCCUAAUCUCACUAGACUCUCUUUAAUUAUUAUUAUUUUUACUAUUCUUUAUUGAAAAAGUGGAUAAGAGAGCAAGCAUUAGAACAGGUAUUUGGGCACACGCUUUCCGUCCCACCACCCUUUUCGCCAACAUUACUCUCGUGCGAUGCACCGGAAUUUCGUACGGCACGCAAUCUCACACACUCCCUAGAGAAUUCCCCACCGCUCCCACUUCGUCCCACCUCACCCCCAUUAACCAUUCCCUGCACCUGGAGCAUUCUCUUACAAUUAUGCACCGUUCCUCCGCCAACUCAAAAUUUUUAUCAGUAUCUUGUUUAACUGCUCAAAAUUCGCACUUAAAAUUGCUCAACUGAUUCCAAAAAAAAUUGACAGAAUUUUUCAUUAUAUUAAUGACUCUCACCCCGUUUAUUUUCAGUAUUUGAAAUAAUUUGUAUUUGAUGAAUUUUUUUUAUUGCAAAUUAUGAUAUACCAAUAACCCUGACACACGUUUCUGUAAAUUAAUUAUAGCAUCUUUUUGUUGUAUGAUUGAGGAUAGAAUAGAAAAAUGAUCACUUUAAAAUAAUUUAUCUAUUUUAACCAAACGGCAAAACGACAUAAAAUCCAAUUGAAUUCUAAUUUAAUCCAAAUGAAGUAUUUGGUUUUAAAUGAAUUCAUCUAAAUUUCUUUCAUUUGAAUUUGAUUGAAUUCUAUAUAUUUAGAUUUAGUGUUAGAAACGGAACAUGCAUUCAAUAAUUAGAUUGAAAAUAUAAAACAAAGUAAAAGACAAAGAUUCAAAACUGUAUAUGUCAAUUAAAAAUUUCUCUAAAAAUCGUAUGUUCUCAUCUCUCGAGGCUUAUUAUCAAAUCAAAAUCUAAUUUAUAAAAAUGAAAGAUUUUUUAAAAACAUAUUAUUCAAAGUUUACAAUUUUAGAUGUACGGUGUAUGAGACUUAUCGGUACACCUGGUGCAGGCAAUAUUGUCCUUCAGUUCAUCGGUUUCACACCUGUUGACCAUGAACGGUCAAAAAUAUCUCGGAGUAAUGAUCCGUACGUACGUUAAAGGACGAGAUCAGAUCCCUCACGAAUCGUUUCGCUUCCACAGUGAUGCGCGACCUGUGCGAGAGUUACACCGUAAAGAGUUUCGACUCUCAUCAUGCGGGGAAGGUCGUAAUUUGUUUCCCUGUAAAAGUCCACUUCCAGUGUCGCCUCCUCUCAAUCUCCGCGUUUCGCGUUCAAAUGUAUAGAAACACCCAAACCUUUUGCUUUUUUACAAAAACACACCUGAGUUUUUAAUUUCGAUGAUUAUAUAUUCUAAACUAUAUCUAAUAGAUCAAUACACCAAUAUUUUCAAUUCAAGUUAUUAAUUAUACAUUAUUUUGGCCGUAUAGGUUGCAUAUAAUUUUACAAAGUUUUAAACCACAAAUAAUUUUUUCUUGUAUUCUAAAAUAUAAAAAGCGAUAAAAAUUAAAGCUCGGUUCAAUUUAUUCUUUAAUCGUAAAGUUCGGUUCAAUUAUUAAAAUUGAGAGAAAAAAAUAGAUUUUUUAUACUUUAAUGUCUUACAAAUAAUAUACAUAACAUUCGAUCAAAACAAGUCGUGUAAUUAAUAAGUCACUAAAGAAGAGUCUAUUAAACUAUUUGAUAAAAUUUAAAGAGUGUAAUUACCAACAUUGAAAGUUCGAGCAUCUCUUUGCAAAAAUACUGUAGUUCAAGAGGUAUCAGUACAUUUUACCAUUUUUAUUUUUUAACUAAAAAAUAUAGAGAAUUCAUCGAUACUAUAUAUUAUUUUGAAUCAACGAUUAACUUUUUCAAAAUUUUAAUUUUAUUAUUUAAUUUUUCAAUGAGCGGUGCUUUAAUAUUUUUUAUUUUAUUCAUCCUUCAUUUGUUUACAAUGGACGGUUCAGAUUAACUUAUAGAACUAAUUGACCGAAUAUAAGCCUUAAAUAUUGGAGUGGCCUUAAAUAUUUGCUUGCAUGAGGUGCAUCUUAUAUUUCGUGGACCACUAAAAUUAUAGCUAUUCAUAUCUUCUUAUGAUUCAGAUAUCAAAUACAAAAUAUUACAAUUUUAAAAUAUUUAGAAUUAAAAGAUUAAAUAAGAUUAGGAUAGAUGAUUAGUGUUAGUUGGUGCAUGAUAAAUAUAAUACACUAAAUACAAGAUAUAAUUUUUCCAACAACAACAUGGGGAAAUUUUUGAAAAAUGGCAAAAAAAAAAUGUAUGGAUAGCCCCGUAGAAUUGCUAACUGUAAGAUGUUCCUCAUACUUACCGUUCAAGAUAUUUAGUCUCUGAACUUUCAUAUAUGUUAUAUUGUAUAAUCUCUAGUCAUUAAAAAAUCUACUUUGUACAAAAUAAUUAUGUUAUUUUUUUUAUAAGUUGUCUCGAUUAUUGUAGUAUAAUUAAAUUAAGAAAGAAUAUAGAGGCUUUUUUAUAAUGAAAAAUAAAUUUUAAAAAAAUUUAAAAACUAAAGUGUAAUGUUUUUUCAAGUUAAAAAAUUAUAGCAUGAAAAUUAAAAGCAUAAGAAUCUGCUUAUAUUGUGAUAGUACAAGGAGCUUUUCUUAGUGAUACCGUAUGCAUCUAUUGAUACAGUAAAUUACAAUCGUACCCUUUAUGCUUUAGCCGUUGGAUGAAAUUUUUUCUAGUGUGAUAAAACAGUGCAGGAGCACUCCUACCUUUUAAUUUAUUUAAUUGAGUUAGCCAAUAAUAAUUUUACUUCAAAAUUUAUACUAGAUAUUUAGUUUAAUGAAUUCAUAAUAGUAAGAAUUGUAUAAAGCAUGCUAUUUAAAUUUGAAAAGAUAAACGACGCAUUCAAAUUUUAAAAUCAAAGUAUCAUUAAUUCACUCAAACCAAAUAAAUUAAAAUAUUGAAAGAUGGGAUAGCCAAUUCAAAACGGCCCAUAGUUUAGCAAAUUCUACAAGUUUUUCCCUAUUUUUUAUCUUCUUUUUCAAGGUGGUUUUCAAUUUUUACUUUUUUUCUUCUAAAUAUGCGUCAGUCGCAUCAAAUCUAAUCUCAUCAUUCUCAGUAUUGUCCUCCACGUUUAUAACGGUUUCACAUCAAUCCUACACCACAUUAACUGCUUUGCUUUUGGAGCAUUCGACGUGACUCACGUCGAGCCAAAUGUGCUAUCAAAUUUUUUCAAAAAUAUGAACAAAUCGGUGCUGAGAUUGGCCGGUAGUUAAAGUAGGCAAUAUUUUAUUGAAAUUGACACGAUUAAUUUCCACAAAAUUUAUAUGGAUUUAGAUGAUUGAAUUCUAAGUUCCACGAAUAGGAAUCUAAUAGCACACAAAAAUAAAAAAUAAUUUAGAAACCAUUAAAAAAAAAAAAUGUUAGGGACCAACGGUGCAAUCAACCUUUUGUCAUUUUAUGCUUCUCACUUUCAACGGCUUGGAUUAUCUCCAACACAGAUGGUAUCCAACUGUGCCGUGUAGUUUGAUCUUGUGGUCUAUUUUCAAUUGAUUGGAGUUGUUUUAACUCAUCAUAAAUUUUUAAAAUUUUUAGUUAGCUGUUUGACCAAUUAAAAUUUUACAAAGUAAAUUUUGAGCUAAUUUUUUAAAUUUUGCACAGAUAAGGGUUAUUAGUACAUAGAUCUCUUCAUAGCUAAUUAAGAUAUAUAUCUAGUCACACUAUUGGUUUAUUAAACCCGAUCCAAAUCCACGUAAGUCAUAUAUAUAUAUAUAUAUAUAUAUAUAUAUAUAUAUAUAUAUAUAUAUAUAUUGGACAAGAAAUAUAUAUUUUUUAAAUUAAAAGUUGCGAAUUUAUUACGAAGCCACACGUAGCCACACGUAGCCACUCAAUUUAAGAUUGUAAUUCCGUUUCAUUCUCAACUGCUUCCUCCCAUUUAUUACUCUCCGAUAAAAAUGUACAAAGACCACUUAACCACAGCCAAUUUGGAAAUAGAUCCCUCAAUUCGCGUUUUUGUUUUAAAACUGAAUAAUUUGACUCAAAUUGAUUAAAAACUUUAGUACUAUUUUUUGAUCGAUUCAUUAAAUUUUAAUAAUAUUCCGACCAGAGAAAAUGGCCGAUGAAAUUAGUAAAAUUACUAAAAUUCCAACUUAAUAGAUGAUAGUAACUUAAAUAAUUUAGAAACUUGAUAUAUUAUAAUAAUUUUGAGGGAGUGAUCUGAAAGCGUUCUGUAGUUAUGGGAGACCCAUGCAUUUUCAUCUUCGAUUUAUUAUGGUAAAUUUUAAAUACCACCCAUAUGGUUUCGCACUUUUUUGCUUUAGUGUCUUAUAGUUUAAAGUGUAUAACUUUCGUAUCUUAUGAUUAUUUUUUUUUAUUAUUCCAUCCACUAUUUUUUUUGUUAAAUUAGUGACAAAGUUAAAUUAAAGGAUAGUUAAGUGACUAUUCGAUAAACUAUAGAUGAGAAUAUAAAAUUUUUUGUAUAUAAUUUUAAUAAAAAAUUAACAAAUGGGCUGACAAAAAGAAAAAAAAAAUGAAAUCAGAAGAUAUUAAAUUGAUAAAUUUUAAACUAUAAAGUACUAAAAUGAAAAAAAUACUAAACUAGAGGGGUGAUAUUUAAAGUUUACCCAUUUAUUAUGCUUAACACACACCCUCUCUCGUAUUGUGUGACUGUGUCACUCCCACUUCUUUCUCUUCGUGCGUUUCUCCUUCCAAACUCCUCUCCUUUUUUUUUUUUUUUUUUUUUAGUUGCUAAAAAAAAAAAAAUCUCAAUUCGAAAUUUAGAGAGGAAAAAAAAGGAAAAAAAAGGAGAAAGGAAAAGGGGAGGAUCUCGAGAUCGAAUUUGAUAAGCGAUGAAGCGAUACAGAGGAUUCAGAUUAGGGCGAAAACUCACAACCUUGUGGAAAUGGGCAUUUCGUUGUCGUCGCCACCACCACCACCGAAGCUACCUCCGCCUCGAUCCCAAACCCUACUCCCCCUUCCAAUCCCCGCCUCCUCCGCCCCAAUCCCUCUCCCUCUCCUUCCCCAACCCCAACCCUAACCCUAGGAAGCCACCGGCGAUGGCGGCGAGGAUCUUCGACUGGGGCCGCCACCUGAUCACCCGCCGCCUCCGAUCCAGCGGCGGCGAUGGCGCGGCGCUGAUCGAGGGCGAGGAGGCGAAGCCGCCGCCGAAGGGGCACAUGGCGGUGUACGUGGGAGGGGGGAGGAGGGAGGGGGCGGCGGCGCCGCCGCGGAGGUACCUGGUCCCGGUGAUCUACUUCAACCACCCGUUGUUCGGGGAGCUGCUGAGGGAGGCGGAGGCGGAGUUCGGGUUCCGCCACCCCUGCGGCGGGAUCACCAUCCCCGUCCCCGUCGCGCAGUUCGAGCUCGUCCGCACCCGCAUCGCCUCCGCCGCUCCUCGCCGGAGAAGAUGAUCGACCUCGUCGCCCCCCACCAUUGCUGUAAUUCUCGCUGUACAUAACCACACCCGAUCCCCCCCUCCCCCUUUUAAAUUUUCUCGUUUUUUUCUUUUUUCCUUUUCUUUUUCGGCUUUUUGGUUUUCCGGGUGUAGAAUUAUCGAUUGGUGAUGAAGCUUCUAGGGUUUUGGAGAAGGUCGAAAUUAAAUGGUUUGAUUUGGGAAUUAUUUGUUUGAUGCUGCUGUUGAUGUUUUCCUGUUGCUGCGUUUCUCUUUGGAGCAGAGGAGGUGAUUUACUACUAUUUUUCUCUUUGAAAAUUACAUACGUAGAAUAUUAAAUUAAGUAUUUAAUUUAUUUGACUAAAACUUAUAAUUUUUUUAAAAAAAUUUUAACUUAAACUUUUAUAAUUUAUUUUUUUUUUAUGUAUAUAUAAUAUAAAAUAAUAAAUGUUUUGGUUUUUUAAUUAAUACAUAUAAUAGUGUUUUUUUGACNAUAUAGUUAAAUUAUGUGUGAUAAAUUUUUUUAAAAAAUAUAUGAAUUAUUAAUAAAAAGGUUAUUAAUUUUUUAUAAGAAAUAUAAUAAUAUUUUAACAAAAUUAAUAUUAUAUACAUGAUAAAUAUAUAUUAUUUUAUUAUAAAAUUUUAUUUUUUUUAAUAGUGUUUAUGUCUUGUCGCGCUUGUUUUUUAAUUUUUUUAAAUUAUCAAAUCGCUCUGUUUGAGUUGUGCCAUAUUUCAUAUUUUGUGUCUAUUUUUAUGGUGCUUAGCUAAGGAUAUUCAAACAGUUAGCUAAUAAUCAAAGCAUUUUUUUAAAAAAGUUGUAAUUUUUAGCCCAAUUUGUAUAAAAAUUUACUUAUUUUUGCCUUUUGCAAAACCGGGUCACAUUUUUCGUUUUUGCAAAUUCGGUCCGCUUUUUUAACAAACUGACCAAAAUACUCUUAUUACUUUUUCUCUUUUCUCUUUCUCUCUCCUCUUCGUUUUUCUCUUCUUUUUUUUUUCGCCGAAAAAAAUAGCGAAGGCAGAGGCGGAGGCGGAAACUGUCCGACUCGCCUCUCAUCCUUAUGCUCUCGUCCUCGCCCUUGCCCUCGCCCACGCACCCCGACCUUUCUCACCUCCGACCCCGUCAAUACCUUGCCGUGACUUUUUUUUUUCUACUUUUUUCAUUUAAUUCUUUUCUUCUCCGACUCUCCUCUACCGUCUCCGACGACGACGUCACUCUCGCCCUUCCCCGCUCUUCUCGUCUCUCCCUCUCCCUCCUUCUCUGCCGCCUUCGACAACGAUACAUCUUCGCCGGCGCCGACACCGACACCGUGGAGAUCACUGCUGCUUUGCAGCUUUGGAGCGGAAUAGUCCUUAGCUGCGUCGUCACUGGCACCGUGGCUGUUGGCAGAGAAUGUGACAAAAAAAAAAUAGAAGAAACAGAAAAAAAAAAUAAAAAUUAUAUAAAAAAAAGAUGAAUAUGAAAUUGUAUCGUUAACUGCAAAAAAAAAUUACAAAUUGCACUACUUAAAUUGUAAACUGCAACUUUAAGAUGAAAAUUAUACUCUUUGGGAGAUAUUUACACUGUUUCUCUUCUUAUUGCACUCUUUCAGAUGUAAACUACAUCCAAUAACAUGAAAGUUACACUCUUUAAACGAAAGUUGUAUUGUUUCUCCUCUUGUUGCACCAUUCCUCCUCUUCUUACACUUUUUUUAUCUUAAACUGCACCCAUUUAAGAGAUAUUUAUACUAUUUCUCCUCUUAUUGCACUGUUUUCUCUUCUUGUUGCACUAUUUAUCCUCUUGUUACAUUGUUUUUCCUCUUAAAGGGUGCAGUUUAAGAUAAAAACAGUGUAAUAAGAAAUAAAUAGUGCAAUAAGAGGAGAAACAGUGCAACAAGAGAAAAACAAUAUAAAUAUCUCUUAAAGGGGUGCAGUUUAAAAUAAAAAACAGUGUAACAAGAGGAUAAAUGGUGCAACAAGAGGAGAAACAGUGCAACUUUCGUUUAAAGAGUGUAAUUUUUAUCUUAAUGGAUGCAGUUUAUAUCUGAAAAAGUGCAAUAAGAGGAUAAACAAUGUAAAUAUCUUUCAAAGAGUGUAAUUUUCGUUUAAAGAGUGUAAUUUUUAUCUUAAAACUGCAGUUUACAUCUUAAGUAGUGCAACUUAUAAUUUUUUUUACAGUUAACGAUGUAAUUUCAUCUUCAUCCUUCUUUUUCUAUAACUUUGUAUUUUUAUUUUUUUUUAUUUCUUUUAUAUUUUUUUUGUCGCCCCUCUCUGCCAACGGCCAUGGCGCCGGCAACGACGCCGCUAAGGACCCCCGACUCCGAGGCUGCAGCGCCGCAGUGACCUUCACGGUGUCGAUGUCGGCGCCGGCGAAGAUACAUCGUCGUCGAAGGCGGAGAGGAGGGAAAGGGAGGGACGAGAAGUGCGGGGAAGAGCGAGAGAGACGUCAUCGUCGGAGACAGUGGAGGAGAGUCGGAGAAGAAUAGAAAAAAGCAAAAGGGAAAAAAAAAAUCGCGGCGCGGCCUCGACGGGAUCGGAGGCGAGGAAGGUGGGGGAUGUGUGGGCGAGGGCGAGGGCAAGGGUGAGGGCGAGAGCAUGAGGGUGAGAGGCGAGGCAGACCGUUUCCGCCUUCGCCUCUGCCUUCGCUACUUUUUUCGGCGAGAGAAAAAAAGAAAGAACUAGAGAAACGAAGAGGAGAGAGAAAGAGGAGAGAGAAAAAAUAAUAAGGGUAUUUUGAUCAGUUUGCUGAAAAUUCGGACCGAAUCUGCAAAAAUGAAAAAGGUUGUCCGGUUUUGCAAAAGUUCAAAAUAAGUAAAUUUUUUUAUGCAAAUUGGCCUACUUUUUAUAAAUGCCCUUCUAAAUUGCAAUAUAUCAUUUCUUGUAUAUUUAAGAGGGCUUAGGGUUUAUUUAUGAAUACUUAAAAGGACUAUUGAUGAUAUUUCUAGAGUUAGAGGAAUAUCUAACAAGAAGCACUACUCAAUUAAAAGGUCCCAUUUAAUAUCCCCUUCUAAACACAAGCAAAAAUUACAAACCGAGGCUUAUUUGAAUAAAAUUUUAUAUAUUAAAAAAUAUAAAAGUAAAUAGUGAAUUGUUGGUGAUUAUUAUUUUAUUUAAAGUGCUUACUUUCCAACACAAAACAAAAACAUAAAAAUAAUUUUUUUUUCAAAUAUUCUUUUUAAAAAAGUUAUUAUUCACCGCUUGACCGAAUGUAUUAUAAGCUAGUCAACAAUAACAAAAAAAAAAAAUUUCUUUCAGCAUAUCAAAUUAUAUACGGUUGGUGUUUAAAAAAUAAAUUAAUGACAAUAAUACUAGGCGGUGACGGAAGUUUCCAUUUUUGAAAUUGUACAUUGUUGAAUCAUAAAUUUUCACAUCAUUGAACUAGUUGCAUCAUGAAACACAUUGUGGGUGGUUCAUCGCAUGUUUCGUGUUUAAUGCGGGUGACAACCUGGUCAGCAUAGCAUUCUCACCAAACCAACUUUUAAGAUACUCAUUAAGAUUCGUACGAAAGUAUGAAUUUUGGGAUGAUGAUUUUUGACGUGUCCCGCACCAGGGGUCCUCACAAUUUAUUUUAGCAAAAGCAUCACAAUACUAUAUAUUUUCUUUUUUCAGAGAAAGAUGAUGGAAUUGGUGGUGUGGUGAUCAAACUUAAUGCAUAGUUCUUUUUGUUCGUAUUGCUUUUGCGUUUUGUUUGUAUGCAUUAAUUAAGAUUAUCGACGCGAUUAUUUUACAAGAACUAGGCUCACAUAGUGUUCUCCUCGUAUUUGCUUUAUGUGUUGCUUAUUCAACAAAUAAUGAUUAGGUUGAUAUGUUAGUUUUGUUUCUUAUCCCUCUUUGAUUCAGUGGUGAAUUGCUUUUGGAAAUAAGAUUUUCAGUUUGAUCAUUUUGAGGGUCAAAACAAAUCGAACAUAAUCGGUAUCUAAAACAGUUUACUUAGAUUAGCCGUUUGGUUGAUUGUCUCGAUUUAUGGUUUAUUUAGUGGAUUAGUUAAGACAGAUUGAUUUGUAAGAAUUAAUUUUAUUACAAACUAUAUCCUUUUAUCAAUUUGGUUUAAAUUAAUUAGGAAUGUAAAUUGGACAGAUCCUAAUGCGGAACUGAUCUCCCAUCUUUCGGCCUGUUUCCUUGGUAAGUUGGGCGGAUUUGGAGUGAUGCUUUUUUUUUUUUUUUUUUUCACUUACCGCUCGAUUCUAUGCGGGAGUGAAUUUUUGGCGAAACAUUAUGAAACUUUUUUUUUUUAUUUUUGGCCCUUAUUUAUUGUCCUAUUCAAGAUGGGUCAGGGCGGUACAGCCAUCAAUUCGGAUCCAUUAGCAUCACUAGUUUUUCCUGUUGGUUUGCAAGUGGCCAUUACUCCUGGGAGUGGACCCUACCAAAACCAAAAUUGGGCCUGCUGCUUAAAAAAAUAAAAAAGUGCUUUGUAGGCCGGUGGGCAUACUAAAUAGGGCCGUAGUUCUCUACUUGCUAUGGGCCAAAAAGCCCAAAUUCAGGUAUAAUUUUGUGAGAAAUGAUUUAUUUGUAAACUCACCGAAUCGCGGCACCACUAGGGUUGUAAUGUGGGCCGUGUCGGGCCGGCACGGCCUACAUUUUUCUGCCCGAAACGGGCUAGGAUCCGGUCCGGCCUUGUGCGGAUUUUAUUUUGGGCCGGGCCGUACCGUGCCCAACUUGUCUACAAUGUGGCCCAGCAGGGCCCUUCGGCCCGGAAGGCACGGGCCAGCCUAGUAAAUAUUUAUUUUUAAAAUUUUUUAAAAAUUUUGUCUGAAAUUUAAAAAUAUAAAUAAUAAAUAUUUUUAUUUAAAUUAAUAUUAUGAUUAAAAUAUUAAAAAAUUAUAAAAAUAAUUAUACUAAAGUAAAUAUUUAAUUUUUUUAAAAAAUAAAUAAAUUUGUAUUAUCUAUUUUUAAAAAAAAAAUGAAAGAAAUCUUUGGUCCAAUGGACCAAAUUCUUUUGUCCAUUGGACCAAAAGUGCUACUUCCAAGGUUAGGCAGACCUUCGGAGACCCCAUGGCGCAGGCCAUGGGGUGCGCGCCUUGCAGGCCCGGUUGGCACGGCCCAAGCGGGCCGUAUCGUGCCGAGCCGCGCGCCUCCUCUCAGCCCGGAACGUCAGGCUCCAAAGAAGUAGCACAGCACUGCCUAGUGCCUCGGGGGGCCCGGCACAAGUGCUACAGUACCUGUGCCGUGCUGUAGCCCGGCCCAAGGCCGUGCCGAGCCGGGCGGCCCGUUUUACAUCCCUAAGCACCACUCUAAAAGGCUGUUUGAUUAGAUGUAAUUAUAAAUGCAGUAUAGUUAGGAUAUAUGCAGUUGAAAAUAUAGCAGUUACAACUAUAUGUAUCUUGUUUGGUUGGAUGUAGUAGAAAGCGCUGCAAGUAUAAAUAAUUUGUUUGAUUGCAUGCAUUUGAGAAAUAAUUUUUAAAAUCUUAUCAUUUUAUAUAUAUAUAUAUAUGAUGGUGAGAUUACCUUCAAUAUAAAAAAAGAAAAAAAAAUUUUGUUUAAAAAAUAAUUGAGCAGGUAAGCAUACAUUUUAUUUAAAGUUACUCUCUCCAACUGCUGAAGUUGGAACUGCGACAAAUUUGGGCUUAGUUCAAACUGCUGUAGUUGAGCCUUCUCUUGUAGUUCCUAUUGCAGCAGUUGGAGUUAAAUAUAUCAAACCAAACACUGAAUUUGCAUUUGCAUGCAGUUACAACUGCAGUGCAGUUGCAACUACAUGCAACCAAAUGGCCCCUAAAAUUUUUUUCCUGCAGCUGUGUUUCACCUGUGAUGGCUGGAAUGGUGUCUUUCGCAUGUAUACGGAACUAAUUUAAACUAUGAAUCAUUUUGAAUCAAUUACUCAAUAUUUCAGAAUUUUAAUUUUACUAUCCAAUAUUUAAAAAUUUUGAAGUCAAACAAUCGUUAAUUAACUCAAAUCGGGAACUAGGCUGGAAUACUAUUAAUAGCACCAAUGACUUGGUGCUAUUAAAUUUUCCGCCCUUGGAUGGUUAGGAUUAUGUGGGCUCCCUAGGGUUGAGUGGGUGGUUGGUUGAAUAAUAUAAUCGAACGGAUAAAAAUGAUAAAAGAGGUAAAUCUAACGGCGGAUAGCACCAAAUACUUCGUGCUAGUAUUCCAGUUGGACUCCUCAAAUCAGAUAAAUUAAAAAUUAGAAAGUAAAAUCUAAAUUCUAAAAAAUUAGGUAGUUGAUAUAAAAUGGCUCACAGUCUAAUUUAGUUCUGUACCUUUUCUUUUUUAAAUCAUAGUGGCCAAAGACGGAGCCAUUACGAGAGACUCGCAGUGGCCGUGGACCCCCUCAAAUUUUGAAAAAUAUAUUAGUUCUUUAUAAUAAAAUUAUAAUAUUAUAAAUUUGAGUUUUUAAGGGAGCUAAAUAGAAAUUUGAGAUUAUUAAAUAUAUGUUCCUAUUGCUGUUUCCGUUUUAAUUAUUAAAUAUAUGUAACUACGUUAGAUAAGAUGUCAACGGGUCGGAUUCGAAAAUUUUCUUUAAAAAUCCGAAGCUGAACUUAACUAUCAAAGCCAAAAUCUGAAUCCGAAUCUAAACCAUCGGAUAUUUAAAAUUCAUAAUGAAAAUCCAACCCGAUAGAAAAAAUGAAAUCCAAAGUUGAAUCACUUAUCCAAACUCGAAUGCAAUCAUUUCUUUUUACCAAAUUUUAAAAUAUAUCAUAUAUCAUACUCAACCUAAAUCCUUAAUGCAGAAAUUUAGAUUUUUAUAUUUGUGUAAUAUAAAAUCGGUUUAGAUUCGGUUUAGCUUCAGACUCAGAUCGGGUCAGAUAAAAGCCAUACCAAUCUAACCGAGUCCGACUCUUUCGAAUUUUUUCUUUCUUAUACCCAUAAUCAAAAACAUAUCUAUUUUGCAUCAAGUAAACAUACUUCAUUCGAAUACGAAUUUGGAUAAGCUUUUGAAUAUACAUACCUAUCGACAUGACAUCCUACGAAUUUAUAUUCAGAUAAAAUCUUGAAUAUCAGGACCUAUUAACAUCCUAGAGGUCAGUGGUUAGUGGUACCUAUAAAAGCACUUAUAGGCUAUAGCAUGUGAUUCCAAAAUCCAAUUUCUUUAAAAAAUAUUAGGUUUGUGAAAUUUUAAUUUAUAAAGGUAAGCUUGUAAAAAGUUUAUUUGUAAAAUAGUUCUAAACUAGUCACGUCUACGUCAUAUCAGUAGUGCUUGAAAAAGAGUGUCGAAUAAUUUUCCCUAUUCCAAACUAGGGAUAUGAUUAAUACUUCACCGCACUCUCUAGUAUCCAAAAAUGCAAUCACUUACAUGGCUUAUACGUGGCAACGUAUAAGCCUAUCGUUUGCAAAUAAAAUUUUGACUAAUCCAUUUUAACAAAUAUAAAUUUUCAACCAAUCUAUUCCAAAAAUGUCCAACAAAAUUGGCACAGAAUUAAUUUUGUCAAUACUAGGUUUCUUGUGCCAUAAAUUACUUGUUGUAUCUCACGAGAACAAAGAAAAGAGUACAUGAGCAGGUCAAUAUGUUACAUGGUCAAUUCCUAGUACCACAAUUCACGCAGGAGAAACUGCAAAGGUGGAAACAAUUCAUGGAUUAAGCGGAUCGAAAUACCAGGAACAAGAAUCAGCCACCUCAUAAGCUGGGAUUACAUAUGUUUUAUUAUCAAGCCCUGUUGGAAGGAAUAGAUGAUCCAAAUUGUCUCAUUAUCGAGUCAUUUGAGAUUAUAUAAGUUUAGAAAAAAUAUGAUAAAUACCUGAUAAAAUUGCUUGUGGAAGAUAGAUUUAAUUUGGCUGAGAAGGCUCUCCAGGUUUAUAGAAAUUGCGCAUAAAAUUUACAUUAGAUAUCUAAUAAUAUCAUGUAAAUAUGUGAAGAAAUCAAGAUUUUCAACAUAGAAAAUUAGAACUGAAAAAAUAAGAAAAAAUUAAAUAUUUUUUUUUUAAAAAAAGAUAGUACGCUAUCCGCGUCAUUUAUAUAGAACAUGAACUUAGCUAUAACAGUAAGAAAAUCUGGCCUCUUUGUAGAAAAAAAUAAAUAAACAAAUAAAAAAGACGACAUCAAAGAAAGAAAACAAGAAGAAACUAUGAAAAAGAAAAAGAAAGGAAAUGCAACCUAGAGAGACAGAAAGAAUCAAACCAAAAUAAAACAAAAUAAGGCUAAGAUAGAAAAAAAAAAAAACCCUAUAAAAUGCGCUAGACUGCGAAUUGUAUUUCCUACUGAAAUGAUGCCCCUCCACAAUCUCACUUGUCUUCUGAUGUCGCUUACAGUAAGGAUUGGGUCCUAUACAAACUUCAUGAAAAUCACUUUAUUAUUUUCUAGCUAAAUUGUCCACCAGAUUGCCGCUAAGGCACAUAGUCUCUUCGUAUUAUUCUGAAAAGAUGUCAUUAUUAUCUAUCUCUCUCAUACGUCUUUUCAUACAAUUCUAGAAAGAUGUCAAUACCAUCUAUCUCUCUCGUACGACUCUCAACCCCUCCCUAUCAUUCAUCUCUACAAGUGCUAUCACAAUACUUACUAACAAUGCAUUCCGUGAAGAUAUGAUCUGUCGUCUUAAGAUUAUCUCCACAUAACACACAAGUUGCAUCCCUUGCCCAUCCCCUUCUGAGUAGGUUAUCCGCCAUAAGCACUCUAUUUUUUAGUUAAUAUACUUUUUUGGUACGUGAAAAUAUUUUGUUAGAGCUAUGAUUCUGCUGCACCUCUGUUAAGUAGAAAACUUUCUUGGUGUGUGAGACACUACUAGUGAUGGUGACACUUUGAAUCUUUGUUGACAGUUUAUGCCUUAAUUGUAAAAGCACUUUUAAGAGUCCAAAUAAUUUACUAAUAUUGCUUAUUCUUUAAAAAGGAGCAAGAUAGUAUAAGUUGGUGCGCGUCGAGCCACUUUAGAGCAAUUGUGUUCUGCAUUAUAUUGACCUACUAGUACCAGUUUUUUUCUUUUUACCAGCAUAUCAAAUUGUGGCUUCCCCUGUUUUGAAGGACCCAUCAUUCUAUUAUUGAUCCCUAUGUUAAUAAUUUUUUAAUUAUUUUUUUAAGAGAAAGAUAAUAUUUAUUUUGGGUUUCUCCAUAUUCUUACAUGGUGCAUUAGUGCAUUGCCCUUUUAUUUUGAAGGAUUCGAUGGUUUUAUUAGGAAUGUUAAUAGAUAUGGAUAUUUAAGAUUUUAUCUAAAUCCAAAUUGAUCAGAUUUAAUCGAUGCUAAAUAGGUAUGACUUUGGUCGCAGGUAUAAAAAUAAAAAUAAGAUUGAUUCGAGUUUGGGCAUGAUUUUUUCUUUUUUUUUUCAACACACGACCGAAAUCCAAAUUUAAAUUUUGUUAGCUUAAAUAGACCAACAUCCUGCUUUGUGGGACGAGGUCAGGUUAAGCCGAGCCAUGUUCGGAAUGAUGUGAAACUGAAUUGAAUCAAGUCAUAUUCGAAGUAAUAUGAGGCUGAUUGUGCCGAAUCACAAUCAAGACCUGUGAGCGUUGUAUCUGUACGCUUUAAAUGAAUUAAUUGUGUAUUUCUAACCGUUCGAGCUUUUGAAAUUAAUAGUGAGGGCCAACAAUCCGACAAAUCCAAACCCGAACCUGAUUUAUAUUAUGUAGUAUAUAAAAAAUUAAAUUUAUACUUUAAAAAUUUAAUAGUAUGGUCUGUUUUUAAAAUUUGGUAAAGAAAAAUGAUUGCUUUCGGAUUUGAGUUCUCAAAUUUGGUUUCAAGUUUCAGUCUCUUUUGAUUGAUCGAUUUGGUUAUGUGUUUUCAAAAUUCAACUGGUCCGAGAUAAGUUUCGGAUUCGAAUUUCGAUUCUAAUUUUUAAAAAAUCUGUCCCGAAUAUGAACCCUUGACGUUUCAAAGUAUUAUGCUCUCUCUCUCUUUUGCUAGCCUACCCUGUCCGAGGAAAAAAAGAAAAAAAAAAAGUGUUACGCUGACAAUUCUUAUUGUAACAGCAAAGACCAAAAUCAGAGCCCUCUCUCUUUCUCUCUCAAGAAUUAACCUAUAUAUAUAUAUAUAUAUAUAUAUAUAUAUUUCCAACGGUACCAAAUCUUAGCCCAAUCAUGACAUGCACUCAUGCUUUUCUCCACUCCUCUAAGACCAGGAUCGAAACGUACGCCCCCUCCACCCUCCCCAUUAAAAUAAAAACAAUACAAAAAAAAAAGAAAAGAAGAAAGGUGGUAAAAACACCACUCCCAACAUUCAAAAAAGCGAAAGCAAAAGCACCAUUCACACUCAAAACUCCCUCUCCCUCUCUUUCUCCUUCAAAUUCUCUCACACCAACGAAAUUAAACAUGUCACCACCCCUCAUGAGCAAACUCCUCUUCCUCUUCCUCUUCCUCUUCCUCUUCUCCUUCACGUCCACUCAACUACUAAAACUAGUGCACGGCUCCUCCCCCUCCCCCUCCACCUUCGUCUACGCCGGGUGCUCUCCUUCCAAGUUCCAGCCCAACACUCCCUUCGAAGCCAACCUCGACUCCCUCCUCACCUCCAUCGCCACCACCGCCUCCGAGGUCACCUACAACAGCUUCUCCUCCUCCGCCGCCGCCGCCGACUCCGCCGUCUACGGCCUCUACCAAUGCCGCGGCGAUCUCGCCGGCGACGACUGCGCCGCCUGCGUGCGGAGCGCCGUCGCGCAGCUGAGCCUCGUCUGCUCCUACGCGCUCGCCGCGUCCCUGCAGCUCGACGGCUGCUUCGUGCGGUACUUUGCAAACAAAACAACCGUUCUUCUCUAAAAACUGAAGUCUUUUUUUUUUUAUAUAUAUAUAGUAACUCGUUUUUCAAAAUUAAACAACUGCUCUCGACGGACAGAGAACGGUGUUUUAAUAUUUUUAUGUCGAGCAGGUACGCGAGCACGAAUUUUCUGGGGCAGCAGGACACGAGCUUGGCGUACCGCAAGUGCAGCACGAGCACGAGCAACGACGAGGAGUUCCUGCGGCGGCGGGACGACGUGCUGGCGGACCUGCAGAGCGGGGUGGUGUUCAGGGUCAGCAGCUCCGGGUCGGUGCAGGGCUACGCGCAGUGCGUGGGCGACCUCGGCACGGCCGACUGCUCCGCGUGCCUCGCCCAGGCCGUCGGGCAGCUCAAGAACUCCUGCGGCUCCGCCAUGGCCGCCGACGUCUACUUGGCGCAGUGCUACGCCAGAUACUGGGCCUCCGGUUACUACUUUCAUCCUUCCGGAGGUUUGUGUAUUUACUUUUAGAAAAAACUUCAAAUACCACCUCUCUAUAGUUUGGAACUUUUUUUAUUUUAAUAUUUCGUGAUUUAAAAUAUAUCAAUUUUGUACGCUAUAGUUUUACUUUUCUCUUUUUAUUAUUUUCUCUACUAAUUUUUUUCGUUAAAUCAGUGAUAAAAUUAGAACUUAAGAAUAUUAAAAUAAAUAUUCGAUAAAUCUAGAUAGGAUAUCUGAAAUUUUUUGUAUAUAUGAUUGAACGAAAAUUAUUAACGGAGGAGCUGACGAAAUGAGAAAAAUAAACCACAGAUACAAACUUGAUACACUUUAAACCACAAAGUACUAAAGUGAGAAAAUACGAAACCAUUAUUUUUAUCCCACUUUUAUUUAUUUUUAUUUACAAGUAGAAGAAAAUUAAUUAAUGCAUUAUUUUUCCUGAUUUUAAAACGAGUUAUAGUUUAUAUCGGUGGGUACAGUGAUUUUUUUGUCAACGCAUUUCUUCUCAACGGUUGAACUCUACUCCAUGGUGCUUUAAGAUUCGCGCCAAGUAAAAUACAAUUGAAAAAGACUAGUUUGAUAGAAGGGUUUUCCUGGCCCAGCAAGCAACCAACAAACAUUCCCUGCCACCCAACUAACUGCACCCAAAGCGGAAAAGAAAUACCAACAAUUGAUCACAAUUACCAAUCGUCCCUAUCUAGAGCAAGUGGCAAAAGACUUGGUGAUUGGUAUUCGAAACCCAAAUUCGAAUUCCAGUUGAUUCACAUUUCCAGCUAAGUUUAUUUCUAAAUGAAAUAAACGAAGCGGAUAACGUGCUACCUAUCUUUCCGAAAAAAAAAAAAAAAACAAUUGAUCACAAUUUGAAUUCAAUGGUUCACAUAUAUUUUUUUUUCCUCUUCAUUAAUAAGAACCCCACAGAAUUUGUGGCUAUUACUUAGGACAGUACACCUUAAUUUUGGUUUCAAUUUGGGAAAAUUAAAGAUGAGGGCCCCCCACAAAACUAUGAAAUUAUGGAGCUCAGGUAUUAAUUAUUGAUUGUGACCACCUGAAGAUUAUUUAUGGUUCAAGGCUCAUUUGAGAAAGGUGACAAGCAGGGUAGUGUCGGACCAUAUGAAAAGAAUAAGUUCCCUGCAUGAUGAGUUUUCAAAUAAUUAAUAACUUAACAAAAGAAGGUUCAAGGAGAAAAAGAAUGCACUAGAAAAGUUAAAAAAGUUCAUAAUUUGCUACAACAUUGUUUCUAACAUAGAGAAUGCCCAUUUGAUGUCUAAUACUUAGCCAUAUCCACAUAAAAAAUUGAGUGUCUUAGUGGACUAAAACCAUAUUAUCCACACACAGUUUCUUUUUAGCAUAAUACUUGAGUAGCAUACUUGGCAAAAGGGGUUCUCUUUUAGUUAUCAACAAGGACAAUGAACAGUGGACCACCCAAACAUAAAGUAAUGAGCUUGUGGAGGAGGAUAUAUUCUCUCUGAUCACAAUCACUACUCCAGAUAUGAAUAUAUUCUAAGAAGAGAGAAUAUAUUUAAGUAGCACUUCAAAAGUGACAAACUUUACAAGAACUUGUUAACUUUCCUUUUGCUUUUCUAUUGUUUUUUUUUUUAAAGAAAAAGAUAGAUACUAUCAGCUUCGUUUAUUCUUUUUUAAAAAUUAACUUAGCUGAAAAUAUGAAUCAACUAUGAUUCGAAUUUAAAAUCUCGAAUACUAACCAUCAAAUUCUUUGAUGUUGAUAGAUUUGAAGUGAUGGGUUUUGUUAGCACUCAUUAAAUUUGAUCUUUCUUUCUUUCUUUCUUUUUAUUAUUAUUAUUAUUAUUUCUUUUAUUGUUUAUAGAUUCAGAGGAUGACAUUGGAAGAACUGUGGCAAUAAUUGUGGGCAUUCUGGCUGGAUUGGCCCUCAUUGUGGUCUUCAUUUCCUUCCUCAAAAGAGCAUGUAAGUUCCCCAUCCUUUUACCUCCUCUUUAAGUUCUCUCUUAGGUCUCUUAACAUUAAGAACUUGCUUGGUUCACCUAGACCACUUGCACCAAUUCAAAUAACUUUACAUAAUUUUACCUUUUAUUAUUAUCUAAUUUUUUUUAUGUACUUUACACAUUGAAUAUAUAUAUAUAUAUAUAUAUAUUUACUCCCUAAAUGCAGGUUAAUGAGCAGCUGAUAUUUCUCACAAGUGGCUCCAGUUGUGGUCCCAUGUUCUACACAAAUCCUAAAGGCUAAAUCCCCUCUCAGUUUUAUUACCAUGAGAGAUCAAAAUGCAUUCUCCGCGAAGAACGUGCACUUUCUCUUUCUGCAAACAUCUGCAGCAGCUUCGAGAUGUCGCGAUUUCGCUAACACAGAUCCAUAUUUGUAGUACUUUCAUUAACAAUACGAAGUCAUUUUUUGUUCCCUCCUCUUAUCAAAGAUGAGUUCUUCAAAUAGGCUUCUUUUUCAUCCACACUCAGAAAAGCAGAAAAAUACACAAGUGGAGGUAUACAUUUCCAUAUUUCCCUUCCAUUUAAUAUCUAAAUUUGAAGGCAACAAACAUUCUAGGAGCCAAGUUAGCAAACAUUACGACCAUAAAGAUCAUAUAUCUGUUCGCGAUAACAUCGGAUGUGAUCGAUCAUGUUUACAUCAGGUUCAUACAUUAAAGAGUUUAUUCACAUAAAACUAGAAGAAAGGGAACUUACCGCAGGUAUAUUUCGCGAGAAGUACAUUUUGCAUCAGCAUUGCAAUCAAGCGCUGUACCCGCGGCUUACGGGGCUCCAUUUAAUCGAGUUAUAGCCUCUGCAAGCACUCACACAAGCUCCCUUCAUUGCGUCCGCGGAAACCCCACUGUUGCAUAUAUUCGCAAACGCCCGCAUGUGUUUCAUGCCAUUCUGAGUUAGCGAUCCGCAAUGAGACUCGAAUAUUCUUACCUGAGGUGAAAAUGCAGUUGAUAAAUAUUAGUUACUUCAAUCUAUAUUGUAAAACUAGGUUAAAACAUAGGGAUUCACUGAACAACAGCACAAAUGGAGAUGAGAAUAUGAACUCUGAAAAUAUUAAUUUUACUGCCUUAUCAUAUCUAAUGUUUGAGUUAACUAUUCCUCCAUCAGAAAUUAACACUUCUUAAAUUUUUCUGAUGGAAUAUUGUACAACUUCUUUGACAGAAUUUAUCUAAUUCUAAUAUAAUGGAAUUCUCUGAAAUCAAAAAGCAGCGGAAACUUAGGCAGUAAAUCAAAAUAUUUAAAGUUAAACUAUCAUUUUUCCUUCUGAAAAAAAAGUAUUAGUAGAUAAGAAAGGAUCAGAGCGAUAAGAAUAGAGGAUUAUUCGUUACCAUUCUCUUCAAACAAUCCCAGUCAUCAACCAACACCUGACCUGGCGGUCUAACAGCUCGGAUCACGGAGGGACCACUUUGUAUUCCGAAAAGAAGCUUUCCGAUAAAUUCAAUGCUAGUGUCGAGAUGCUCUCUAUGUUUAAGCAUCUCCAUCAUCUCACUAAGCACUUCCGUUUUUUCUUCUAAUCUUUCAUCCAGCUGUUCAUACUGAUAAAAAAACAAAGAAAAUAUAAGAUAACGAACAUCUACUAGUUCAAUGACAAAAUUGUAGAACAUCGAAUUCCAAGAGUUCGCACGGAAAGAAGCAUAAAUAUCUCUAAAAUCAGUUCAUCAAAACCAAUAUAACUUAAGCCUGUGUCUAGAGGUUCCCUAUGGAUUGCAUCCUAAGAAAAAUGAACUGUUUCACGGCAACAUCCUCAUUAAUUUUAGCUAAAUGAUAUUUUGCUGAGAAAAACAUCGGUUAGAUAUGGGGAGUCGCACAAUCAAACCUGUGACUGCUCACACAGUCGAUAUAAAGUUCCGCAUUGAAAAUGGGAGAAGUAAAAUGGACGAGUCAACAUAUAUUCAAUCUCCUGUGCAUAAAAUUUAGUUUUUGCAUUAUGGACACCUUGCUUACUACUUUCCACACUAUACAAGUAAAAUUUACCGAUUGCUCACAAAGCGCUUUCCCAACCACUGAGAACAGAGGAAGAAGGCACCUCCUUACCUCAUCAAAGUUCCAAUAAAUUUUGUUAGAUGCCUUUCACUAUCUCUCCAUUCAUUUCGGGAACAUUCUUUUUAUAUUAUAAGAAUCUGAAAAAAGACCACUUUACAUAGAUGCCUUUUCAGCCAUCAAUGUAAGAGGCGGCAAACCUCCAAUUCUAAAUCUUAGUAGGUUUAUCUUUUUUGCAUUAUCAAUGCAAAGUUUACAUUCAAAGAAAAAGCAAUGGGAUGAUAAAAGUUCUAUUUGGCAUGUAAAGAUGUGCCGAUACGCACUUUAGGAGAGGAUAAUUUUAAUUUCAAAUUUUAGCAGCCGUUGGUAGGGUCCGCUAAAGAACACGAGAUUGACGAAACCAAACGCGCGAGCGCAUAUUUUAGCUUUGGCUAACAAGGCAAUGUUUGAGGUUUCAAGCCAAAAUAGUAGAAUUGAUAAUGGGCUUUAGCCUGUGAAAUAAUCUAACAGUAUUAAAAGAAGGGAAAGUAAGUUAUGCUCACCCUUUUCCACAGGAAUAGGAGGUCGGCAUCUCUCUGAUUGAUGGCCGUUACCGCACCAUGCUGAAGGCCAUUGUCAGAAACAUUGGCAUUCGCUGGAUUAAAGCCCUGAUAGAGGUACAACUUCUCCUCCUUGAAGCUCUUGUCGCCGUAUUCCAUCACAUGAGACCCCAUACCGAUCGAGGAGUUGCAAGUCCUGUCCUUAACCUGUCCACACUCAAUACUUAGCUAUAAAUCUGAAAAGGGAAAAGAAAUAUGAGCCGUAGUCGUUAUUUGCGGGCAGAGAGUUCAUCAGCGGAAUUACCGCGUCAUAUUGUUUUGCAAUGCUUUCCUUCUUCAGGUUGUGGGCCUCACUGCAAAGAACAUAUGGGAGAAUUAACACUGAUUUCUUGCACGAAACUUAGAAACAUAAGAAGGAUGGUAGUACAAGAUUCAUAAUUGGUAUAAGCCAUGUCAAUAGAACUAAAAUUGUUACUAAUAGAGCGGAUUUGUUGAACCUGAUCAAAUCUAUUAUGUGAACAUCGGUUAAGUCAAUAAGCAUUCCAACUCUAUCAAUGCCAAUACUAGUUGUUUAACGUAAUGCAGUAAGAGCAGGACACGUAAUAUAUCCCCGAUAAUUAGUCCAAUUAUUCUAGUAAAGAACAACUGGUCUGAAAAUUCCAACAAUAAGAAGAGGAGAGGGAGAAAAGAGACCUGUCCUCCAUCCAAGCAAUACUGUAUAGGUCUCCAAGGCAGGUCAGGUAUUCAGGCGGCGGAGCGGGUUGCAUUCCGGGGCAGUAUGUUCCCCAACUGCUCUCCUCGGCAUUGGACGCUGUGGUCACAUAUAUGUCAAGGUCCUCCGGCAUUAAACCUUCAAAUAUGCUCCCACUCUCGCACGCUUCCACAUAAAUAACCUGCCCAGACAAUCAUAUAUUCUUCGAUUCACCGAUCUUGUACUAUUACCAACAUCAUAGAAAAAGGAGGUGUGAAUCUCCUCACCAUCUUUUUAUAGCUAUUCGACGCAUGUUUCUUCUUCAACACCUCAAUAAAAUCAGCAGCAAUAAGAAAUGGCAAAUUGGGCAUACCUGAAACAAGUUCUAUAUAUAGUUAGCAUCACCAUAAUUGAGAGCGAAAAUAAUUAAGAAGAGAACACAACCGAGAACUCCAGGGCCGCCAUGAUCGGAGUAGUAGAUGAAGAUAUGGUCAUCCGGUUUGCUAUCGACAACCUUCCCGCUUCCACCUUGGACUGCUGUUUUAUUGCCCAAAAGAACAGCAUAGAAGUUCUCAGCAGUGAUUUGCACUCCAGUGUAAUCCUGCAAUGUAAUGUAUGUCAAAGAAGGUAAAAGGACAUCGAAGAUGAUGCUGCGGUCUUUAAGAUGAAUAAUAAAAAUAUUUAAAAUACUUGGUCAUUAGUGUUAUGGAUAGAGAAUCUGAUGAAUACAAGGUCAAUUUGCACAAAAUUCUGAUUACAUUUCAUUAAUACAACAACAGACAUGUUUAAUGCAGCUACAUAAGCAAUGCAAAAUCUUCACUUGGGUAUCCAAGAUCAAAAUCAACCGAUACGUUUAAAAUAUCUGAAAGUUAUGAAUUGUAUAAAAAUAUAUCAUAUAUUCGACAGCAUUAAGGCCUUUAUGUUUUAAAUUGUAGGUCAUUAAAACAAUUAAAGUUUAAAGUUGCCUUUGUAGAAAUCAGAACUGAAAUAAGAAAAUAAUAAUAAUAAUAAUAAUUUCACGUACUUAGAAAAAUUUGGUCCAAAAGACCAAAAUUUGGGUGUUUGGUUUGGUUAUAUAUUAAAUUCUCGACAACAGUUUCUUUAUGAAAAAUCACCAUGACAAGUUACUUCGAUUAGUGAAAGGAACUGAUCAGGCCAUGCUAAACAGGGGAAUAUCACUUAAUGGUUUGGUCCUUGGUGAUAUUCCAUGCUUUUUCAUAAAAGGUAACAUAACUUUGGUCUGCAACAAAAAAUUUCCAACAGAAAGUUAAAUGCCAUCUUUGGCUGAACAAGCACAAGACUCGAAAUAUGCCAAAAAGAGUUUAGGUUUGCGUGACCGCGUGUUCCACGAACAGACAGUUACUAUAUAAAUUUGCAACCACUCCUGGUUUUACGAAAGCGUAAAACACAAUGCUUGUAGCGCUGCAAAUUUGCCUGAUGGACCAUGUUGCCAAACUGAGCUAAAGGCUAUUUAAAUUCAUCUUCUCUUUCAAGCAACUUCUAAAUUUGCUUUGUUCGAUAACAUCUUUGGACUAUUUUCGCCAUGCACUCCAUUCUGUGUGACCUUCUUUACUAAUACAAAUCAAAAAUAUGCAUCCCAAGUAAAAAAUAGAAAGUUAAAAUGUAGUUAGCUUCUUAGCUUAUACUAAAAGCACAAAAUUGUGGAAUCUUUUGCGCUAUAUCUAGUUAGUUUCAUGAAUGCUCCAGCACAGCUUGCAUUGUGCGACAAAUUGGCUUUUGCACAAUCUCUUGUAGAAGCAAACAAUUAUAGAAACGAACCGCCUUUUUUGGCUUAAGUUUGUGACCGUCACAAUUUAAUUUUACCGUGUAGAUUAAUCACUGCAUAAUAACAUACAAAAGCAUUAAAAAAAUGACUUCCGGUUAUAAUUAUGUUGUAGAACCCAGUACUACUCCAUGAUUCAAAAUUUGUGGGCUCAAAUCCAACGUACCAAUUACUAGUUCGGCCGUCAUGGACUAUAAGACCAGGUCUAAUGAAUUCCUUAUAGUAAAAAUGUACACAAAUGGUUCAAAAUUUUAAAAGGAGAGUGAAUUGUGGACUAGUAUACCUUUGGAACCCCUGCAUACACAUCUUCGCCUUUCGGGUUAUUAAUGACAACCCCCGGCCUUGGAUUCAGCGGGCUGUUUGCGAUGUCGUCGUACAUGAACACGAUGAUGUUCUCCUCCUUCAACCCUCCAUUCUUCAAUAUCUGGUACGCAUGGCACACAUCCGCCUACACGUCAAAGCGCCGCGAAUAUUAGCAUACAUUUAAAACUUAUUCAUUCCAUCCUAAAUUAAGCCAAAAAAAAUGUUAAAAAAAGAGCUUGAUUUGGUAACUUUAAUAUGAUGAUGAAUAACUCACAAUUUACUCCUCAUUUCAAUUUGUGGGUAGGAAACAAAGCUUGAUUUGAUGAAAAGAAUCCAGCUAAUCAAUUAACACUAUAUAAAUCAUUCCGGCGAUGACCUAAAUUUGUUCUCACCAAGUUAGAGUUUUUUAGUCCAAUUUCUGCUGCCACCGUCAAAUUCUCAUUACUUAAAAAAAAAGGGGUUAAUUUCAAACAGGUCCCUGCAAGGACUAGCAAAUAUAGUGAAUUGAAAAUAUAUUCUUGUAAAGUUCAACUUUCAUAUAGUGUUCCUAUAAAAGUCUUGAUAUUUUCAAAUAUAUCCCUACUGUUAAAAUCUGUUAAAAAAAAUUAGUAACCAUAAAUAAAAUACUUAAUUCUAAUUAGUUAAUAAGGUAAAUUAACCAUUUUAUCCUCUUCAAUUAACAAUUGGACUCCAAAAGGGCCAUAUAUGUGAUGGCAAAAAUAUCAUUUUACUUAUAAAAUAAAUAGUGUUUUAACGGUAAUAAAUCAGAGGAAUAUAUUUAAAAAUAUUAGAAGUUUGCAGGAACAACAUAUGAAAGUUGAACUUUAUAGAAAUAUGUUUGUAAUUUACUAUAUUUGCAAGGACUGGUAUGAAAUUAACCCUCAAAAAAAAAAAAAGUAUGGAA
This 49057-nucleotide long non-coding RNA is filed under the name Ananas comosus (pineapple). RNAcentral's name for it is "long non-coding RNA (ACOM_LNC006018)". The record is from RNAcentral. Lineage: Eukaryota; Viridiplantae; Streptophyta; Magnoliopsida; Poales; Bromeliaceae.